RNAcentral lists this long non-coding RNA (54196 nucleotides) under Physcomitrium patens. Its description in RNAcentral is "long non-coding RNA (PPAT_LNC007530)". Lineage: Eukaryota; Viridiplantae; Streptophyta; Bryopsida; Funariales; Funariaceae. The record is from RNAcentral.
UUGAUUUUUCUUUUAAUUACUCCAAGAUUUUGCAAGAGAUUAUAAAGCAAUCUCUACCACUUUCAUUACAUUCAAAAAAACAUGAUUUAUCAUAUAUGUGCUUUGAAUUAUAGAAUGCAAUCUUAGCCAUUCUAGUCUUACUUAUUCCACCUAUUCUACUAAGACAUAUUGCCUUCAUAUUGUUUUGAUAUAGUUGUUUGAUAUGCAAUAAGUAUUGUAUUCUAUCUAAUAAUUUAUCUUCUAAUUAUUUAGCCUAUAUUUAUAAACAUAACCAUAAAUUAGUUAAAUUCCUUAGUGCAUGAAAUUUGAAAAAUAUAUAUUUAUUUAAAAGCAUCUAAUUAGCAUCAUAUCACAAAGGCUAAUAAUUAUAUAACAUUAAAAUCAAUUUAAAUAAUUCUAUGCAUAUUCACCAUAUUUAUUUAUAUAAAUCUUAUCAAUGACAUCCUAUUGUGAGUUUCUUGUGAUUGUAUGAAUUAAUGAAUCCUCUUUCUAUAAAUCAAAUUUUAGUAUUUAAGAAAUACCAUCUUCUUUCAAAAAUAAUUUCUUCAAUCUCAUCAAUCUUUUGCAAAUACUUGCAAAUUUUGGUCAUUACAAAAGAUUUUACUUCCAAUAUUCUUCAAUAAGCUUUUUUAGUUCAUUUCAAUUUGAAAGCAACUUUGAUCUUUCACCCAUAUUUAUUCUUUUUAAUAUCUCUCUUCUCAUAGUAACAUUGUAAAAUGGAUCUUUAUUUGAAAGAAUUAUAGAAUAUUCUAUCAAAAAUGAAUAAAUAUUUGCUUCAAAUAGAUACAACUUUAUUUAUACUAAUUUAUUUUUUAAUACUUCAAAAGCUAUGUAUUUUAUACUACCAAAGAGAUUAUUAUUUUUUGUAGCUUUUGGAUUCGUUCCAAUAUCAACCUUUGGCAUUCUAAAAUCAAUCAAUUUUACAUCAAUAUAUUUAGUAAUCUCAUUUAUUAUUUAUUUUUUAAUAAUAUUAAAUAAGACAUUUUUUGGCUUCAAAUCUCAAUGUACAAUGUAUAUAUUAUGAAAAUAACACAUUCUUCUUGUAAUUUGAUACAUAAUAUCAACAAAGAAAAAUAUGGUUUUUUUUCUUUUACUUUCAACACAUUCUUUAAGCUUAUUUGCAUCAACUCUAUUCCUAAAUAUAAACUUUCAUUUUUAUUUUUUAUAGUAUAAGAUUGACCAUUCCCAAUAUCAUCAUCUUUCAAUGCAAAAUAAUACAAAAUCAAAUUGAAACGGAUUAAAUCUAUUAAAAUUCUCACUUCUUUGAUAAAAAAAACUUAUUAUAUUUAACAUACAUCAUUUCUCCUACACACAAAAAUCUCCACCAUUUUAUUUUGUAAACUUCUCCAAAAGAUCAUUUAUUUAUAAAUUCCAUACUUUUAAUAUUUAUCAUGUUUGAUGACAACUUUAAAGCAUCCAAUUCUCUACUUUUUGUGCAAUGCGUGUCCUUCAAUCUUUGUAAUAAAUUGUUAGUUACAAUAUUCAAAAUUUUCAUUUCUACUUGUAAAGAUCAACUGCUAGUAUAAAUUUUUAUUAUCACCUUCUACUUUAUUAAAGGUUGAAUAAAUUUUUUUGUAAAUAUGGUAUCUUCAAAUGUCUUCCAAUUUUGCUUUCUAAACACAUCACUUACCACAUCAAAAUAAUAUUCAAAUCCCAAAGAAGUUCUCUAAAAGUCUCUUUAUUCUUCCAUUGAGAUAUAGCCACUUAGCACCAAAUUUUCAUUUCUACAAUUUUUUAUCAAUAAUUCAGCUUUAUUCACGAUAAUAAAUAAUUUAUUUAAUAAAAUUCCAUAUUACAUUCUAUCAUUGUUGUAAAUUAUUAGUUGUGAAAAGACCUUUAUAAUACAAGCAAUUUUCUUAUGUAGAUUUAUACAUUGUCUUUUCUUCAAAUGAUCUAUUCUCAAUAAAGCUUGUAUUCUUUCAAGACAAAUUUGACAUUCUUUUCAAAUAUUUUUAUUAGUAUCUUGCAUACUUGAUGUGGUGUCAAUAUAUUUAACAUUGUUUAUAAAUAUUUGAAUCCAAAAAUCCACUACCAACCUUAAAGCCAUUGAUAAAAAUCUUGUAAAUAAUUUUAAAAGAUAAGUCAUAAUAAAAUACUAAUAAGUAUUUUAACUUGAUUCUUAAUCACACAUUCAAACAUAGAGAGUAGUUUUAAUUGAAAUUAGUCAAAAUUCAUCAAUAUACAUUCUAUUAGAUAUAAAAAUUAAUAAUUAUAUUAUUACUUAUAGCAAUGUCAAAUCUUCAAUAAAUAUUCUAAAUACUAAAUUAAGACAUUCAAUCAAAUUUAAAAUUAUCCAAUUUUAGAAUAAUACUCACUAAGUUGUCUUUGUAUUACUUAUCUACUGCAUUCUUCUUCAAUUUUCUUGUAUAAACUACUACAUUUAUCCUACAAAAUAUUUCCAAAUUAAAAACCAAUUUUAAAAUUCCAACCUUCAAUAAGACUUAUUUGCACUUAUAAACAUAAAAUAAGUAUACAUUCAUACUAUAAAGAAGUUACUACAAACAAAAAGAUUAUAUCUUAUUAAUACAACCAUGUUAUCUCAUAUAUAUCUAUUAGUCAUAAUUUUGUGUCUAAAGAUGUAAGAUAUUUUAGAAGCUCAGGAUGAGAAAACAUUGGAAGAACUUUGAUUGUAUCAAUUAUUAUUCUUUCAAAUUAUUGAAUACUACUUAACUUCUAUAAUAUGUAAUUAAUGAAUUUAAAAUUAUUUAGAUGAUGGCUUACUUUCUUUGCUUUAUUCUACAAUCUUUCAUAUAAUCAUUUUUCAUUAUACUUAAUUUUUUUAAAAUCACAUAGAUUUAAUUGGUUGCAUCUUAAGAAUUUAAGUUAUGUAUAUUGAAUCAAAAAACUAUUUUAAUAUUGACAUAUUUUGGAAAGAAUGGUAUAUUAUAAAUGAAUUGUAGUGAAUAAUGACACAUGAUUUGUAUAGCAAAUAAAAUAUUCUUUUAUAACUAUCAAAUGAGCCUAAAUUAAAAAUAAUCCAUUAGGUACUUAUAGAGCUAUGAUCAAUCCAACUUAGAACAAUAUUGAAAUAUUUUUUUGAAUGUGGUAUCCAAUUACAUAUGAGUACUUUAUAAGACCUCUUUUGACCUUGAUAACUACUUCUAACCUCCUAUGCAUACUUUCUAUAAAAUUUUGGUACACAAUUGCUUCAAUAUUAUUUUAUUAUGCACCUAUUUUUUUCCAUAAUUUCCAAACUUCCUUUAGUUUUAGCUUCCAAUUGUUGAGUUGGCGUUUGAAGUACUGCCAAAGAUAUUCAAUGGAAUUAAGAUCAAGAGACUAAGAAAGCCAAUCCAUUAUUUUAAUUCCAUGAUAAUCAAACCACUUCUAUACUAGUUUUGAAUUAUGCUUGGAGUCAUUAUCUUGUUGAAAAUUCACCUCCUCUUCAAAAAUACCAAAUUUUUCAUUGCUAGGGAGCAAAUUUUUUUCAAGAAGUUCUACAAGUUGUUUGGUAUCCAUCCUCUCCUCAACCUUUGUUAUCUUUCCAACCCUAUUCCAUUCUAUACAAUCUCACACUAUUAUAUUUUUAUCCCCAUGCUUAAUUGUUUCUUCGAUCUUAUUGUCAAGUGAAAAUUGAUCCUUUUGUUUCUACACCCACUUUCUACCAUUUGAUCCAAAUUUGAUGAUUUUUAUCUCACAUGACCAAAUAACCAUCUUCCAAUCUUCCAUAUUCCAUUCCUUGUACUUCAGAGCAAAAUCUAAGCAUAGUUUUCAAUGACAGAUAGAUAAUAGUAUUUUUUUUCUUCUUCAUCUCAAUUUUCAUAUUCCAUUUUUUGAGAAUAUUUUGAAUGGUUUGGAUUGACACAAGCUUACUGAUAAUAUUUUUAAAGUUUUUAGCAACCUCAAUAGCAUUUUUAGCCUUCCUAGUGUUGAUUUGGUAAAUGAUUAUUCUUUCAUCUACUACAAUGAGUUUCUUUGGUCUACUUAAUUCAAGUUUUUUCCUAUUCAAAGUAAUCUUUUUUGCUAGCAAAGAGAUAAUAGCUUUAUUAAAGCCAAGUUUAAAAGCAAUUUAACCAUAAGAUUUUUGAGAAUGAAGAAAAGCACAUGUAAUGUUGUCUUAGAAAGAACAGGAAAUAGAUUUCAUAACUGUUCAAAGAAUUGUCAAAGAUACAAAAAUUUGACAAAGAAAUAUGUUAAGAUUAAAGACAAAGAAUGAGAUUGAUAACAAAAGUUAUUUAAAAGAUUUCUAUUUAUACUAUAAUGAAGGUUAUGAAAGUCUAUGGUAUUUUCUAUGGAAGUUUUUAGAAGUCUAAAAAAGCUUCUAGAAGAUUAAAAAGACUUCUAAAAGCCUAUAGAACUUUCUAAAAAAUCAUAGAAGAUUCUACAAAUAUUUAGAAGGUUCUAGAAAUUUGUAGAAGAUUUUAGAAAGUCCUAAAAUGUGAUAAUUUAUAAUAUGUAUGUGCCAAGAAUUAUAAUUAAGAAUGAUACUUUUAAAGUUAUUAAUAAGUAUUAGUAAUGUCAUUAGAUUAAUAUUAAUAUUAUUAUAAUAAAUUUGAUAAUAAAAUGCAACAAUAUUAGAUAAUUGAUAGAAUUCAAAGACUAAUCACCACACUCAAAAAAUUGUUUUAAUACUAUUUCAAAUUAAGUUGGCUACAACUUCGUAAUUAUUAAAAGAAUUUUUUUCAACUUAAAAUCAUUUGGUAGCUGUAAAAGAGUUCUUUAUUUGCUAUAGAAAUCACGUGUCAUUAUUCAAUACAAUUCAUCCAUAAUACACCAUUCUUUUCAAAAUAUAUUAAUAUUGAAACAAUUUUUUGAAUCAUUGCAUGAAAUCUUAUCUCAUGUAUAACUUCAUCAAUUGUGUUACAUUAUUACUCUAAUUCCAAGAAAACUUUUCUAAAUAUCUCUUUGUUUGUCCUUUGUAUCAAUGUAAUUUCACACCAAUUUCUUCAACAAUUCACCUACACCACCUUUGCCUUCAAAUACACUUCAAAAUAAAUCUUCCAAUAAUAGUUGAAAAAUGUAAAAAUUAAACCCAAUAAUUUGCUAUUUUUUUUGCCAUAUUAUUUCUAAAUUAAACAAUAAAUUUUUACAUUGCCUUGCAUUGAAGAGACAUUUUUUUAUUAGAUCUUAAUUCAAAAAAUCCUACAUCUAAAAAGAAUUACAUGUCAUGAAUUAUUUGUCUCAAACAUAUCUACCAAAACAUACAAAAUAAAUUAUUCAUCAUCAUCCAAACAACUUUAAUUUAAUUUACAUACUUCAUAUGUGGUUUCAACAUUAAUAAUGUAUAUAUAUAUAGACGAAAAUGUUAAAUAGAUCUAGAUUUUUACUAAAUUAAUCCACCAUCCUAACCAUGAUAAAAAUAAAUAAACCACCUCUAGAUUCAUAUCUUCACUAUUAAAUAUGCAAACAAUAAAAAUCAACUACAUUCAUCAUGAUUACCAUAUUCUUUGUCAAGAGUGGGUUGAUUUAGUUUAAAAAAAAUUGAUCUAUUUAACAUUCUCUUAUAUAUAUAUAUAUAUAUAUUCUUUUAAUAUGAAGUUAAUAACAAAGUUUCACAAAAAGAAUAAAGACCUUGCAAUUCAACACUUUGAUUAUCACCUCUUACCAAUCUUACAACAUUACAUACAUUCUCAAACAACAUGCUUAAUCAUUAAUUGUUUUACUUUUAUUUAUUGUUUAUUUAUUUGAUGAUGUUUUUUUUUUUAAUAAGUUUUGUUCAUCUUCUUAGAGGAUAUAAUAAUUUAUAUCAUAAAUGUUAUUUUGAUUUUUUUUAUUUUCUUAUUAUUUUUCUUAUUUUGGUUUAUGUUCGUGGUAAAAAACACUCACAAUCAAGGGGAAGCUAUAAUUCAGUUACGACAAACGCAUAAAAUGAAUGUGAACUGAGAUAACUGAUAGAGAUGAGUCUGACCUGUGUCUAGAAUAAGCAGUGCACACAGAGCGGCUAAAGGAUUUCUGCGACAACUGGAAGUACGUUGAUGUCGCCUGUCCACUGCUACUAGCUCCAGUACUGCCAUUACAUAGCAUUCAUCAGCAGCAAUCUCAACCCCACUCUCAUUCAGUAUUUAGAGCAAAGUAGCGGCCCACUCUCUAUCCACUUUACGAUACUCAAGUUCAACUACUAGAGCGUCGCUACAGAAAACAACUCCAGGCCAAGAAUAUGGACUACAAAUGCUCUGCCUUCAACAAAAUUGUAAGAUCAAAUACAGAGUAAGGGACCGAUUAAUCGUUUUCCGUGAUCAUGGCAUAGACCAUGCAAGUCAUGUAGUGGAUGACCGGGCGUAAUCACAAGUAUUGGAAUGUACUACGAAUGACUCGAAUUUCCAUUCAUGGCAACUGAUUCAAUCGCAAGAGCCGCUUGAAGCGAAUAAAAACUGUUUCCCUCAACUUCUAUGCAUCAUGGUGCAACACAGAGCUUUGGUCGCAAGAGCAGUCCCCUCCCUGCCCCAACUUCGCGAUCUGCUCUAAAGACCAGGUGCAAGAGUAGGUUGAAUACACAUCGCGAAAGAUGAUCCUAGGGUUUCUCACUUGGAGGACCGAACGCAUGCAAAUAAACAGCUCUCCUCACCGCAACACCAGGUUCCAAGGCUCUCCCGUCCGCAUUCACAAAACCCUCACGAGGGUCCAGACCUAUCAUAAAAAGCGACAAUAUCCGAAUGCAUGCACGUGCACAACAAAAACAAAGUCGUCCCCCGCCUUAAUCUCAAAUUACGAAUUCCACCACAAAGUUAUGCUUCGUUCAAAACCAACAGCAUGUUCGAAGGGCAUUCUAUUGCCAGUCGAUUUUUCUUCCAUGAGAACAGGAUCGAAUAAACAACAGACGUACAACAUGCGUAUUCCCACGGGUUCGCGCUCAAAUAAAAACUACAGAUCCUGCACAGAUAAUGGCUACGAUCUCCGGUAGUUGCGAUUCUCACCCUAACCCCUCGUAGCUAAAAACUCGACCAAGACCACUUUCGCCUCGCCUCAACUCAACAUCACGCAAUCUAGUCCCACACGUCCUCCAACGACCAUCACAAAUUUCACCAAGAGGCACAAACCUCCCAAAAAUUCGAAACCAGAGUGAGAGAGAGAGACUGAGUGAGAGAAAGAGAGGCUAGAGAGCCUCCGUCCAGCAAUAGGGUUUUCGGGGUCGACUGAACCUGGAUCCAGCAGACUCAAGAGAUCCAACUGCAGAUGCCCACAGUGUGAAUCAGCGAUCGAGAGGGACCUGACACUUUCAAAGCUGAUACUUGUUGCAACUGAUUCUUCCAGAGUUACGGAACCGACCACUACACAUAUACACAAACGUGCUGCAAAAAUAGCAAAAAAUGGUGCUGGUUCUCACAAUCCCCGGGACCCAUCUGACAACCUUCAAUUAUCUAUUCUGGCGGAUAGGUCCCACGUUUUCAUCCAUGUGGAUAAAUAAAACAUAACCGGCUGAUCAGCCGUGAAUUUAAUGAAUUUGGAGCGAUUGUUCAUGCAAGUGAGCAAGUCUUGGAUUGAAUUCGAAAGGCCAGCUGGUUGUAGUGCCAUGGAUUGUGCACACUGGGUGUGACGAAACCUUCUUAUAUGAGGUCUGCAAAAGCUGAGGGUACUUUAAUACAUAUUUAAAAAGUUAUGAACAAUUUAUAUUAGCAUAUAGAAAGAAAUCUAGUAUAUUCUUUAAUUGUAAUAUAUAAAUUAAAAACAUCCUCUUCUCUACACUUUUGUUUUUGCAAUCCUUUUUUGAUUCCUUAAUAUUUAUGUAGGUAAUGAAACUGGUUCCUAAUGUAGGAAUCUUAUUAGUAAUUUAUACAAAGUCUACAUGAAAGGCCAGUAAAUUUGUAUUCUAUUGUAAUUGUUCUCUUCUUCAUUCCAAUGCAUGUUAAAUCCUCUACAUACACAGAUUAGAAUUUCACUUUUAACCACUCUCUGAAAACAAUAUUCUUACAAAUUCUUUUCUUGUGGCAUCCAUAAUUUACAUCACAACAAACAAACGAAAUAUAUAAAAGGGUUGAAAAUUAAAGAACAAAAAUGCAAGAAAUGGAGGAGAUGGAAACAGCUGGCAAUCUCGUCAUCAUUCCAUGUAUGGACGACAUGCGGAGAGUGAAGAAUGUCGAUCUCACACAGUUUUCACACAAUUCCGAAGCUCCCAUGAAUCAGCGGAGUCUUUUGGGCUCUAAGACUGAUUUUCUUUCAGUUCUUAACCGCUUUGAGGAAAUUUGCUUAAUAUUCUUAAUGUAAUGUGCUGGUUUUUCUGAUGAGACGAUGCAUCGUUAAGCCAUAUCAUAAAACACUGAGUUUACAAAACAGUUUAGAAUGUGAAAUGGACAAACGUUGAAUACUCUAGCUUCAAAUCUUAUGAUAUCAACGCAGUACAGGCUGCUCAUAUGAGGACACUGGUAUGAAAACUCCGGAGCAGGAUAAAAUCCCAAGUAAUUCUCGUGCGCAAAUUUGUGGGUUUCUAAUCAACUCAUUUUGUGUAGAAAACAGGGGGUUCGAGUUUUUUGAAUGGUUUGGAUCCAAGCCAAUAGGGUCAAGGAAGCUCAAACUCUUGAUUCUGACGCCGCUCGUUAAUGGUAUACUUGCGGAAUCCUACUUGACAUGAUCGAUAUUAGAAUUGAAGAGCUCACAAAGCAGAAAAAAAUGCUACAAAUUAGAACGAUGUCUCUUUCUGAACGCUAGUAUCUUUAACAAUAUUAGAUCAAUAAAAAGUCUGUAAAAGUACUACCGUCGUUGCAGUUGUCGAAUCGGCGACGACGAGUGGCCCACAUUGGCUGCCUCCACUAUCCGCCUGCGAUUGCUGAUCCCACGCCCAUUGCUACGCCCCAUCCUUUAGCUGGUGUGUGUAUGUCUGUCACCUGAAUCCAUCCCGUUGUAAUCACACCACCCUAGAACGCUUUAUGACUUUUUUGUAUCCUGUGCACUAGCCGUUUAUCGUAACGCCUGAAAGAAACUAUUGUAGAAUUUGGGUUUGGCGGAAUUGGCGUGGUGUGGUUGUUAAGUCUGGAAAUUGGGUUACUUACGGAAUGCUCUGUUCUUGCAUCGAUUUAACUAUAAUAAACUCAGAAUUUGUCGAAACUUUUGAGGAUUUCUUUUGUUCAACCUGCAGGUGAGGAUAAGCUUUGGCCGAGGCCAUCACUCGCAACCGCGCAGAUUGUGGGCGUUAGAGAUUGCUAUUGUGCUCAUCUACAGCUUCGUGUCCAAGACUUGAAGUAUAAUUUGUGAGUGGUUCAGUUGGGGCACCAUGGUGCAGUGCCUUCCAGCGCAAUGCCAACUGGUCUCUCCUGUGUCUACACAAAUCGGUCCGAGAACUCGACGACUGACGUGCAACGCCGCUAGGAUAUCGCAUAGCCGGAGAGGCUUAGGGCUGGCGGUGAGGGCGGAAUCCAAAUCUGCAUCCACCUCCACAGUCGAACCUGCAGGUCCUGCACCUACUGAAGAAGUGACAUUGACACCCACCGCACCGCCUUCAAAGUCUCUCAUCAAUGAAGAAAAUAUUCUCAGUGCCAUAUCUGGCCGGAGUAAGUCCUUCCUAUUCUAAAAUCGUGUUCCUUAACCCAUAUUUUAGAUUACUCACAGUGUAAGGCGUUCAACUUGUACCAUGUAAUCCUAGACCGUUCUUGCAAUUUUCGGGCUGUUUCCCGAGACCAUCUUGGCAACACAGGUUUUGAUCGUGCAGUGUUAAACUUCGUCUUAUUUUUAACGUUCCCAUUGAUGUGGAGAAUCAGAACUUAGGGAAAAAUGUCUUGGGUGUGGCGUAUGGUCCAGUUCUUGCAAUACAAACUUAUUUAUGCUCUAUCAAAAAACAAAUCGUGUUCAUAGUGUUUCGAUUCAUGUGUUGAAUUGACUAUAUCUUCUUGAAGGUCAUUUAUGACACUCUUUGUGCUCAAAUCAGAUAGAACUGUUGUUCUGCUUACAUAUGAACUCAUUAAACCGAUCUAAAUUUGGAAUAAGAAUUACCAAUGGCAAAGGUGGGAACAGCUUAUUCGUGUGGUUUCGAAUCCACCCGAUUCGUGCUCGUUAUAACAGAAGAAGAGCUUCAUGAUAAGUAUCUUACCGUCGUUUUGUUGAUCAGACAUUAUUGUGGAGGAUCACUACGGAAGGUUACGUGUUAAUCCAGAAGCGUCGUCGUCAGAGGUGAUUCACUCUCCCCGGAACUGACGAGUUUCAAGAAUGUGGCCACUCGUUACAUUAGAAAGUCGCCGAGUUGAUUGUUGUGUGUUCUUCAGUUUAGUUGUCAAGCAUUGAGGUUAUCCUUGCCUUGAAGCCGAGGCUCUACAUCUAGCACAGAAUUUGGUUCACACGGAUCACACGUGCCAUCGCAGGGUUAAAGAAAAAAUUAUGUGUCAUUCAAUGCCACUGUCUUGUAGAUUGUCAAAGCAUAUCAAGAGCGAUGUGCGGAAGUGCGGCAACAAAAUUUGGGGGAAUCCGAAGCUCAGGAGAUCCUUAACAAACUGAAGGUGCAUUAUAUCGAUCUUCCUGUCCCUGGUCUAUGUUUGUAUUUGAUAGACCUGCAGAGAAUUCCCAAUGUUUGUCGAGCUUGUCAUAAGUGUUUCCAACUUAGUCUGUACCUUGUAGCUAGCUGAGGAUCAAAUAGAGCAAAACUUAAAACCAGGAUGAGUAAUCGAAAGCUUCGUCUGCUUGAAUUUGUGGUCACAAUUGUGCAUAGACACUAUGAUUGAGUUCAACUCCUGCGAAUUUUGUAGGAUUCUGUUGACCUCCUGACGUCCGAAGAAGAACGGCGGCUGUAUGACUGGUGCCUGUUGCGCAAGGCAACACACACAGUUGACUACGCUUGGCCUUACGAGGCUGAUCUAACACAGCGGCUCCAAGACCCCACAACUCUCGUUGUAGGUUUCCUUUAACCGUCAUGCAUACUAUGCAAAUAUGGGUUUCUUUUUCCACGUUUAUUUAAUUCUAGUACAUCUUAUGAAUCGCUGUUACGCCACCCAUCAGCUCACUAGGUUAUGUUUAAACUGGAACAUGUCUUCAUCCUCUCCUUUUCUCUUUGCAACUGAUUACAGGCACAUGUACACACAUAUCUUCUAGACAAGAUAUCGACUGAGAGGAAUUAGGGUCAGAGGUUGAAUUCGCUGUUAUCAAUCUCUUUGUAUUAUGCACAGGUGCCGCCGGAAGACGACGGAGUAAACGACCAAGUGGGCCUCUUCUUCGCUGGCUGGUUCGUGUUAUCUUGCGUUCUUAGCAUCGUCAUAGGCCACGGAUGGGACAAAUGCUUGUGAUUCUGCAAUUACAUGACGAGAGCUCUUAUCAGAACUACUGUUAUCAGAACUGCGUGACAAGGGUUCUUGUCGAAAACAAUGCUGUCAGAACUAUAUGAUACGAGCUGUUGUCUGCCUCUAUUACGUAAUAGAUAUUUUGGAAGAAGUCUGAUUUACUGUUAUGUUGCAUAGCCACCCACAUGGUGUACAUAUGGUGCCAAAAAGUUUGACUCAAUUCCACCGUAAAGGUUUGAUGUCUUUAAUUUUAUUUCAUUCAAUAAUGAGGUUUACAUAGUUCAUGAUUUGAUUGAUUGCAAAUUGGUUACGAGGUUGUAGAUGUAUAUAAUAUUCAAAUCGUAUUGUUUCAUACAAAAAAAUAUCAUAUAUCAGAUGUCACAGUUCAAAGUGUGUUGUGUUCUUUUAUGAACUUCUAAAACAGUAUAAAGCAAUUAUCGAAUAUUAUUCUAAUAUUGUCAUAUGUCUAUUUGACUUUACAAUCAAUAACUUAAAAAAAACAAUUGAUUGGAAUAAGAGAAUCUAAUUCUUAAGGCUUUUGUAAAAUUAUUAGUGAAUUUUGUAAUCUCUUUCGUGUUGCUUUACACUGAUCAUGUUUUUUAAUGCAGCUAGAGGUCUCAAUUUUUAUUUUUAUUUUUGGAAGUUGUUACUUUUUAAUAAAAUUAUAUACACUCAUACAUUGUUGCAUUUUAUUCGAAAUUUUUGCCAUGAUCACAAAAAUUCGAAAGAUUAAUGUAACUAUUACUAAAGCUUGAAUACAAAGAUUAUUUUGUACCAGUAAACUAAAUUAUUAAGUAUAUAUAUUUGGGAAAUAUUUUUCAACUACAUAACGCUAUUAGAUCCAUUGGUAUGUUUUUAUCGGUUCUUUUAUAAUUCAAAUAUUUAAGAUACUUUUUAAGUAUAUAUUAAUAGUAUAGCAUGGACCUUAUCAAAACUAAUUUGGCCAGUAUUAAAUUGCAACUUAUUGAUUAGAUGUUAAGACGAAUUAAAACAUUUAGCAUAUCAUGUUUGUACUUUUCCUUUUUGACUUAGAUUUUCUUUUGAGCUUUAUGAUGUUUACAUUACUUUUCUGUAAACUUUGUCGUUAUUACUUUCAGAUUUUAUAUUUGGAUAUAAAAAUGGUCUAACUUGAUAUGGACAAUUAAAAAUUGUAGAAAAUUAUUAAUUUUUCUGCUACAUUGAUAUACUGUAUUAAAAGUAAUUUUAUGAUAUCACUGAUAUAAAAAAAUUAUUACUAAAAUUUAAGCAGAUUGAGUAAUUUGUAAUCAACUUAAAAACCUAAAAUAAUUAGACCGGUUACAUCUCAUAAGGUAGUUAAUGUGGUGGAAUAAAAAAUUAUGAAAAUAAUUUUACAAAAAAAACUGUACUUUUUAAAUUAAUAAAAUUUUAGCUAUUUAAUUUUAAAAGAUUCUAUUAUGAUGUGAUGUGGUUUUCCUUAUUUCUUACGUGAACAAUACACAAAUAAUAGCUGUUGAAUAUGUGAACAAAUAAUAUGAAUCACCUUCUGAAAUAGUUUCUCAAUCUCUGUAUAAGUUCACUAGCGCAAAUUCAACUUCUUGUGAGUAUUCUACAACUGCUACCUGUGCUCAUCUUUUAGCGUUCAUGACAUUUGCUACCAUUGGGAAAAGCUAACACUUUGAAGGGGUAUAAAGUUUUAAUAGAUUUUGAAUCUUCUUGUACAAGACAGUAUUAUGAAGAUCCCUGCAACAUGAUGGACUACUAUUGUUUGUCAUAUCGUGCUCUUUGAUUUCCAAACGUGAAAAUUUUGCUAGACAAUCAAUGGGUAUUAAAAUUGAUGGAUGCAGGUUACACUUUAGGAGUCACUCUGCACAUGUAGACACUUGCUGACUUCUUUAAAGUUUUUAAAAGUGGACUUAAGUUGGCCUGGUAAGUGUUCAAACAUAAAUGCAGAUGUUUAGAGUAUUUAAAAGCGUUUUGAUCAAUUUCAAAACGUUAGUUGGUAGUUCAAGAGACUUGCAACUAGAUAGCAUUGUGAUGUUUCCAAUUACAAGCAAUGCAUCAUCGAGGAUCGUGUGGUCCAUGCAUCCAACCAUGGAGUCAGGACGUCCGGAAAGCGCGCAAUUUGAAAGCAAAAACAAUGGAUGCUCAUUUAAGCAUCUUGGCAAUUUUCGCUCCUAUGGUACGGUCCUCGCCAAUUAGGUGCGCGGCCUGCUAUGCUCUGAUUGCAAAGUCAUAUUUAAGUUGAGUUCCAGACAACCUGAAGGCUAAUGGAAGUGCUCUAGUUCGAAACUGCCCAAAGGUUUUGUAGGAACUACAAAGUCCUGCAAGGAACCAACUUACAACGAACAGACGAUAAGCACUUGACUUGUCUACGAUUUUCCGAUAUUCCAAAUUGAAGUGAAGGGUAGGGCAAGUUGAUGCGUGGUGCACAGACAUACCAGGCUGUCAUUCAUACAAAUCGUCUUUACGAUAUGCAGCUAUUAACUAGGAGCCAGGCAUCGUAUUGAGUUGGUGCGAGGUUCUGCAAACCAAGAGCGCGCCAAUCAACAUUCUCCAGCGGACAGAUGAAACCUGCAGGUUUUUAAGGUGUGAAGUUUCCAAGAGCCGUUAUUGUAAACCACGGUCGACCAUCAGCAGUAGGGUGAAGGAUUUCCUUCAGGUCAGUGCAAGUCCAAAAAGUUAGCAGCCAUACAACCUGUAGGGGACAGAACCAACAUUUUAGGUGAGGGCAAGUGGAUCAACCAAAACAUCCAGUUUCGAUGAAGUGGUCGACAAGAAUUCCACAUUAGCCGUUUUAAAUCAAAUUAUGCAUAUUAUACCUAUCAUAAUUCUCUAACAUUACGUGAUCCAUUCCAGCUAAGCUGCUCAAGUAAAGAUUCAAUCAUUCUAACACAAAAUGCCCUCGUCAGCCCCGAGGGGUACAAUGAUUGAUCAGAUUUGCUCGCUAAUUGCUAUCUGAAUAACAGAGGAUUAAAACCCGCAGCUACAACUAAAAUAUUUAUUAAAAGGGGGAAGGUCUAUCAUAUCAUGUAUGUUGUUAACCCAAUACAUUUUAAAAGGGUAUCAACAAAACAAAGAGGGCUUCUCAGUCAAAUCAUUAUCAUUCGGGCUUUGAGCUAAGAAUUGUUCAAUCUCUUCUAUUUCUUUGGGAGCUUCGGCCGUGAGUAUCUGCAUACAACCAAGUUCACAACAACAACUAUAGUCAAACUGAUAGAAAUUAAACAGCGUGAAAAAGAUACGAGGAUAGCAUCAAAAUACAAUGAAACUCUCUCGAAGAGCGAUGCAGUCCUAAUACUAUCGCCAACCUAGGCCAAAUCGGAUUACACCUACUCCAGAAGUCAGUCAGUAUGUUUCCAUGGAGACGCUUACCUCGUAGCCUGUGGCUGUAAUAAGUACUUCGUCUUCUAUUCUUAUUCCAAUGCCUCGGAACCUGCAGGUAGUCAAGCCUGGGUAAGUCUUACAACCUUGAUUCCUGAAAUACACAAUGCAUAACCAGUACAAGCCUUUUGCCACUGAUCUAUUAAAAAAUUAACCGAAGAGUUCGUAUUCUGUGACAGUACAAAUAACAACUACGUAGAUCAAUAAAUCAAUACGUUGAUACUUCAAUGUAAAUUCUGAUAUGGCUUGUACAGUCAUACUUUUCAGGUAUCGUCUGCUUGGCAGGUAUAUAGAGCCCAGGUUCAAUGGUGAUCACCUACUCAAGUGUAUACCACAUUCACGCAUAAGAAUUCACAGUUCAAUAUGAGAAGCAAACAAGAUGUUCAGAUUAUGAUCAUGAGAUUGAAAGAAAAAGUUGAAAGACUGAUUUCAACGUUGCAAACGAAGCAAGAAAAUAUAAAAGAAUGUGAUUGAUCUUAGUUACUCACCACACCAGGCUGGAGGGGUCGAUCUAAGCUAACAGUUGAGCAAUCAUGCACAUCCAUACCUAGGUAAUGUCCUACAACCAACAAAUUGUCAAUGAUAUACCACUACUUAGGUUGUGCAUCGCUAGUCUCAGAUGCUGUAAAGGAGAUGAAUUGCACAAGUUUGUACAGGAGAAGCAAGUUACCAAUUUGUGUUCUAUUGAAGCUGUAAAACUUAAAUAAAUCAAAUGGGCCUGUUACUAGACCCAACUUCAAUAAACCUUCCCAAAGCAACGCCACCUGCAAUGAAGAAUAAGGAGAGGUAUAUGUUAAUUAUUGAGCUCAAUCUGAUAACUGUAGGUAAUUGAGGAAAAAAAAUAAAAAUAAAAAUAAUCUAUAAGUUGUCAUCGCAUCUAUUCUCAGUAUCUCAACAAGAAAUUAUAGUUUCUACAUUCAGCAUAAAGCUGGUUGACGAAUGGUGGCGCCAUGUGCAUUACAGAAUCUUCUUCAAGAUGCAGCAAAUAGCAUGUAAGGUAGAAAUUACAGAGCGAGAGUGUAUUUGAGAUAAGGUCACGCCAGGCCGGCACAUCUUGAAACAUUCCUUCAUUACAUCAAGUAUGAUGGUGUAAACUUGUUUCUGAGCUCAUCAGGAGAGAUAAACGUCAGAAGCUAUCCUGAUGAUUGAUUCGCUUCAAGACACCAAACCGAAAAAGAAGAAAAGAACAGAAAAAUACAUAUAUAGUAAAAUAAAACAGAAUAACCAACAUGAGUGAAAGGAAGAAGAACAAGACGCCACAUCCGAGAUGUCUGUAUGAGAAAAGGGUUUCUCAGGAUGUUACCUUGGCGUCGGUAAAAUAGCCACAAGGAGGCCAGGUACGAGUCAUGUCACUAACAUAGCCAUGAUAUUCGCAGCCCACGUCCAUGAGCACCAAAGCUUCAUUAUCAAUCUGGUUUAACCAGUACCAGAGUUAGCUCUCAAAGUCAAAUCCAUAGUUACAGGCAGUCUUUUGGUGGCUAACCAAAUGAUAGCAGCUCAACCAAUAUUGCGCUUUGACAGCUUUCUCCAUAUCAAUUCCUAAGAAUCACGUAUUGAGAAUACCAUGAGCACCACUCUAGGUGCUUAAGUGGUUACAACUAUCAAGAAUCGAACUUGAAUACCGCCAUUCAGUGCAAUUAUCUCCGUAUCAUAAGCUCCAAUGGCUCACUUUUUUAUCGUGUCGGGAGUAGUGAACAAUGCUGCCAUUCGCUCCCCCACCCACAACUGAUGGAAACCUGUUCAUCAAAAUGAGUUUUAAUCUCUUCCAUCUAAGUUAAAGCUUCCAAUAUGUUGAACAUACUAUAAAAUACAUUUGUCAAGCUUAAGAGGCCAAUGCAAACUUCUUACGCCAUUUGUUGGGCUCCUCGACGUUUGCACUCAUACUCAACAGUAGCUGCCAAUAAGUGUUCAUGUUGCCAGGCUCUUGAAGCUUGCAUACUCCGCUUUACUGCCUGUCCACCCAGGUGUAGAUAUAAGCUCAGUGCAUUCACAGGCUCCACAGACCUUCAUGGCCAUUGAAAUUUUGAUGCACGUAUUGAAUUUACUGCCUGUCAACCUUUCGGUUACCAAUCAGCCCUCUAAUUGCAUAUAUCUUUUCUAUGCUUGAUGUUGCAACUUACAUUUGGUAAUAUUAUGAUGAAUAGAUACGAACCUUGCAAGUGAUGGAUGCCGCUUCUCGCAUAAGGUUGAGCUCUGAGGGUGAUUUAACCCAACGCUGUUGAUGAGAAUACCUGUUCAGGCUGCGCACUCUGCCCUGCUGUAAGGCACUUUGAAAAGCUUCUAACUCUGCCACUACAGGUGUAAGCGACCCCAAAUCACAGAACACUGUUUUUGCACGUCGAAUAAUAUCUGGUAAAACCUGUAGAGCGAAAGAAUAUCGUAUCAGAGCUAGCAUUUUCAACGCAACUCCUAUGUUUUCAGACAAAUAUAGGGGUGGUACAUUGUCAGUUAGCUUAUGCAAAUGUAAAAGAGAAUCCCUCACAGAAAUACCUUCCGAAGACGUCGCAAUGAAUGAGUGACAUCUGCUCCGAAGACACGACUAGCCUCAUCAGGUCCUGCUAAUUUUCCAUUCCAGGUUUCCCUCUGUGCGAAGGCUGUAAUUAGAUCGCGAAGUAUGUAUAAAUCAAGCACCUCAUUGCAAUCUCAAUGCAACUGGAACCAUAAAGAUUCAUCCAUAGAAAGAGCAGCUGUCACGCAUACAUGCUCCUAUAAUUUGUAAAGAAAACUCUCAAACCGCUCCUCAAAGCUAGUCUUAAUUUUGAAAUCCACUUACUUGAAGUAAAACCAGGGCACACGUGAAUCUACACGAUCAAAUACAGGAGUACUUACUUCAGGAUCCCAGUUGGGCAUAAACAUGCACAAAUCUGCAUCAUCAUACAGAACUGCAAUUCCUUCUGGCUGCUGAGAGCCUGUAUAGUAAAGAUAGUCCGCAUCUUGUCGAAAUGGAUACGGAACAACAUCUGUCAUUUGUUUGACAGAAGCAGCUGACAAUAUGACCAUGCUCUCUGUGGGUAAACGAGACCGAAGUGCUGUUCUUCUUUCCUUGAAAUCUCGAAGACUAAUGCCGGGAAACAGCUCAUCCCCUGACAGCAUCUGCCACCUUUAUGCAGAUUAACAUCACUUUCCAGCAUUGCACAAAUUCGUUACCUGAAACUUCCAAAAUGCCAGAACAGAUUCUCCGCUUCCAUCAUUCAGACCCACGCAAAGAGGCAUACCUGAGGGUGCGAUUCAGACGUAGGCUGCCCCGCAUCGUAGGGAGCCGUCCAUGGUUGAGAAUACCAUCGCCUGGUAGCAAAAUACUGGCCAUUUUCGUGACCAAUUUUCUGUGUCUGCAGACGUGUAUGGAUUAAGUCGCGAUUACAAUACAACUCUUGGCAUUGUGUGUGAUGAGCCAGCAACGAAUGGUGACCCUAAAAAGAGUAAAAACAUCUUCGCUGUGCCUUGACAAGCGAGUUUGAUAGGGCAACAUGUUGCCCGAUUUGGAUCAAACCACAAACUAAUGAUUUGCUUACCGAAGAGACUUCCCUGCAACACAAUCUCCAAGACACUGGAACCAAACUCCUCCAAGCAGCCAUCCUUGCCAGCAUAUGACCGAAUUUGCCACUCAAAAGUCGUUCAACCUCCUUACACGACUUCAUUCGCAUCCAAACACCUUCCUCCCCAUCGAGCCUCUGGAGCAACCAAUUGACAGUCCAAGCAGCAAUUCAGCGGACUUCAUCUGCUAAGCCGACCUAAACGAAAAUAACGAACUUAUUUCAGGUCGAACCCGCAUUCCUCACGCUCCUUGAGCUCUCUCUGUUGAUUGCUCCAGACAACGAAUGAUCGGAAAAAGGUUUAAGAAUUGCCGAUCUCUCUCUCCCGCUCUCUCUCUCGCUCUCUCUCUCUCUUCCUCCCUCUCACUUUCGUAAUAAAUGUUGGUCCAAGACGGUGGAGACCAUCUACAAUCAACUUUUUCCACCAACUUCUAUACAAAACCCAGCAUUCUCUCACAAAAUUAUGUCAUGUUACGAGCUCGCGGUUCUUACAAGCUUCGACAAAAUUGUAACAACAAAUUUCAAACGCGAGUACAACUUCAACAAGUAGGGGUGUAAUAUUCACACCGCAAAACUGCGCCGACCGGUGUCCCUCGGAAUUUGGGUUUUGGCACUCCCUCGUCGCCGCGAACGACGGUGACAAGUGCCGGACGAAACAAGAGGACGAACACUUUCGAUGGUCAAGGAGUAAACUUCUCAGUUCCUCACCGACCCAAUUCUAGCCCCCACUCAACCCCACAGCUUCUCCGGAAUUCCAGGGACGGAAAAGUCGAGUGGUCAAGAUCAGUUGCAGAUGCAUUUAAAAGCCGCCCAAGCAGAGUACCAGUAUUUUCAGAAAUACGUUCAAGAACAUAAGUCCUUUGAUAAGUUGGUGGAAAUUCAUCACGCAAAUGCACAACAAUCCGUUAUCGACUUCCAAUCCAUACCUAUUCCACCUUGACAAAAGAAAAAAAAAAAAAAAAAAAAAAAAAGAUAAAAAAAAAGGAAAAAAAAGCACUACACGAUGUAAAAGAAAAAUUAAAUAAACAGUAACUCCAAAUUGGCUCGAAAAAUCCGAAACCAUCUCGAAACAAUCCAGUGAAUUUUAAAUCAAAAGUAAUGCAGGAUUAACUAAAGAGUUGACUACAGAACAAAUAGCACUUAAUCCAUAGAAUACACAUUUUCAUAAAAUACAGAACUUGAUACAAAACUACAAUUUAACUUACCAUGGACAGAUGCAGAAAAACGACAAGAGUCAUCCCACAGGGAACAUGUUAAACAUCCCUCUCGAGUGUCGCAACUACUGAGAAUUACGAACACGACUCCGUGCAUCUCAGCCACGCAUGUAUUCUUAUACAGUUCAGUGCAAUUUUCAGUUCCUCCCUGCCCGUACUCUCGGACUUGCACUCGUCAAAUCCUUUGUUCCCAUCAAAAGAUACGAACCCAUAUCGUGGGCACAACGUGCACAAAACAGAGACAAUUUACUGAAAAACCACCGAUGUAAACCAAAACGCACAAAGAGCAGAGGUGGAAGGGGGUGAAGCAAACGAUUGCAACACACAAACACAGACGAGUUCUGAUUGGCUUGUGAGCAUGAGGUGGACAAGGCAUGCACACAGAUUUGGAAGGGAAGCAAAUGGGGUAAUCAGCCUUGAGGGGUGGUGGGUGUGUUGAAGUGGGCACAGAUUCCAUAUUCCGCGGUGGUGGCAUUGAUUCCAGAUUCCAGACGGGGCAAAGAAAGGAAAUAAACAGAAGAAAGGGAAAGGAAAGAAAAGAAAAGAAAAAGAAGAAGAGAAAUAUAAAGGGCGCCAAUUAUAGGGUGCCUUUCUGGGCGAGAAGGGCAGGCGGUCAUCGGUCAACGCAGGGGAACACAAAAACAGCGAGCAGCGAGGAAGAGGCGACGAAGGCGACACAGGGAUGACGACGACGACGAGAAGGAGGACGCAGAAGAAGAAGAGCGGCGGGGGGGGGUGGUCGUGGACUCCCUAAGGAAGGAAGGAAGAGGAAGCUGCCACAUGAAAACCAAAGCUUCUUUCCUCCUCCAUGAAGAAUGGAACAGACUCUCUCUGCAGGAAAAACUCAACCCCACUCGCUCGCUCCCUCACUCACUCACUCACUCACUCACUCUGUCUGCUGUUUCUCAUUCGUGUCCCACGCUCUCUUGCUCUUGUUCUCGCUCUCGCUCUCACUCGUCGUCGCUACGCCUGCCCUUCCCCCUCCCCCUCCCGUGUCUAUCCCGCAAUCCUUAGCGCUUCCUCCCUUCUCGCCACACCCCCUCUUUUUCUUUCUCUUUCUCUCUCUACUUCCUGCUUCCGCUCUUCCGUUUCUUCUCAUCUGCUCUCUUCCCUCUUCGAUGCCAUGCUGCUUGCCCGCGUCUUUUCGGUUGGAAGUGAAGAAUGAUGCCGCAGUUUGGGGUUUGAGGCUGGUUUCGGUGGUGGCUGCUUAGUAUUCAAGGAUGAUUGUGGGUGAUGCCGCCAGGGGAUGGUUUCUUUCGAGGAAGAGGGGAGGUGUAGAUCGGUGCAGGGUUAUGCAGCAAGAAUAUAUUCGAUUUGGGCCGCGUGAUGCAAUGCUUGAGGAUAGGUAGAACACGAAGCGGGGGAUGUGACCUUUGAUUGCGUGCAGGAGCGGGUGACGUUCUGAUGGGCGAGGACGGAGGAAUUGCAGAGUGCGCGGAGUGGAAGGAAUAAUCGGCGCGGAUAUUGGGAGUUGGCAACCCUAAGAGAGGUUGAAGCGGCAAUUUGUGUGGGUGAUGACGAAGCAGUGACGGCACGAAGAUGGUGCAUGCGCGGUGCGCAUGCAAAUGACACAGAUCAUCGGAGGAGCAGCUGAUGACAUGUCCAACAAGCGGCGGCGCAAUGUCAAUGUGGCGGUGGACGAUCAGGAGCAGCAGCAGGCUGUUGUAUAUAAGAAAGCCAGGAUAACAUCGUCGCCGACAUCGUCGGCGGCGUCCACUUGUGGUGCACCGGCGGUGCCGGCUACAGAAUCAGGUGUUGAAAGUGACGCGGGUCGCGAUGCGCAUUGGACAAGUCUUCCAGAUGAAACCGUGCUUGGGUUGUUUAAUCUGCUGAACCACAGGGACAGGGCGAGCCUUGCGUCCGUGUGCAAGGGAUGGCAGGUGCUGGGGAGCUCGCCAUCGCUGUGGAAUUCGCUGGAUCUUCGGUCGCACUCGUUGAAUUCGGAGAUGGUGUCUGCGCUGGCAGGACGAUGCUCGAAUUUGGAGGCGCUGAAGUUCCGCAGAGGUGCCUCUGCGAGCUCAAUUGUGGGGUUGCAGGCGAAGGGGCUUAGGGAGCUGAGCGGCGAUUGCUGCAGCCAGCUGUCGGAUGCAACCCUGUCCAUGGUGGUCGCCCGGCAUGCGAACCUGGAGAGCUUGCUGCUGGGUUCGGAUUGCGAGAGAGUGACGAGCGAGGCAUUGAAGGUGAUUGCAGUGUGUUGUCCGAAAUUGCGACGGCUGUGCGUGUCGGGCGUCCUAAAAGUGGAGAGAGACGCCAUCCAGGCGUUGUUCCAGCAUUGCAAGGGUCUGACGGAGCUGGGGUUCCUGGACAGUCACACCAUCGACGAAGGGGCGUUCGGGGGUGCGAGCAGCCUGCGAUUUUUGUCGGUAGCGGGAUGCAGGUGUAUAGUGUGGAGCACGGCGGCGCAUUGGUGGAGCAAAUUGCCGAACCUGGCAGGGCUGGAUGUUUCGCGGACAGAUAUCACUCCGACUGCGCUGAUGCAGGUCCUGGCAGGGCCCGAGCUGAGGGUGGUUUGCGCUCUGAACUGCCCUGUUCUGGAGGAGGGCAGCAACCCCGUGACACUGCCGUCGUCGAAGAAGACGGUGGUGCUGGCUCGGUUCACGGAUGUGAUGGAAGGGUUGGAUGCUUUGCUGAGCCCGAGCAAUUGGAAGGAGGAGGCAGGCUCGUGCGCGAGGUCGAGGUGCGGCGGGCGCGCGCGCGCGGAUUCGGAAGUGGCGAAGUGGACGGAGUGGAUGUUGUCGCAUGCGGUUUUGAAGAUCGCGGAGUGCAAUGCACCGAGUCUGCUGAAGCAGGGGAUCGCGAUGAUGCUUCGACUGGUUCAAAGCGCGCAGGAGGAUGUACAGGAGAGGGCUGCGUCGGCUUUGGCGACGUUUGUAGUGGUGGACGACGAGAACGCGACUGUAGAUUCUGCGCGGGCGGAAGCUGUGAUGAACGGGGGCGGGAUCGCGCUGCUGUUGGGGCUGGCGAAGUCUUGCCGCGAGGGGGUGCAGUCGGAAGCUGCGAAGGUAGGGGGGUUGGUGGGGAAUGUAGUGGAGUGUGAGUGUGCACAAGGCAGGCGUGUGCGCAGGAAGGAUUGUAGGGUAGCGGGGGUAUUGCGUGAGUUGUGGAGCGUGGGGUGGAGCAGGGUCGGGGGAGAGCAGGUGGACGACGAUGGUGGUAUUUGCGGAAUGGGUUGAUGUUUGUGGGAGUGUGGGUCGCAUGCGGGCACAGUGCGUGUGGGGUGCAGAAGCUGUGGGGAGUUGGAUUGACUGGUAGCUGUUGGGUUGGUUGGUGCAGGCCAUCGCAAAUUUGUCCGUGAACACGGAGGUUGCGAAAAGGGUUGCUUUGGAAGGAGGCAUCAGUAUCCUGGCUGGUUUGGCGAGGUCCCGGAACCGGUGGGUUGCUGAGGAGGCGGCCGGGGGUUUAUGGAAUCUGUCGGUGGGAGAGGAGCACAAGGUGAGGCGCUGUGGUUGGCAAUUGCGAUGAAGUGUUUUGCUGNNNNNNNNNNNNNNNNNNNNNNNNNNNNNNNNNNNNNNNNNNNNNNNNNNNNNNNNNNNNNNNNNNNNNNNNNNNNNNNNNNNNNNNNNNNNNNNNNNNNCCUGCCCUGCCCUGUCCGUCCCCUGCGUCGUCCCUCUCUUUGCCCUUCUUCUCGCUCGUCGUCUGACCCCCUUCCUUCGUCUUCUUCCCUCCCUCUUUUAUCCCGUCCACAUACCAUGGCCGUUGCCGCGUCACACCGCGGCACCCACCAACUGUGCCUAUCCUUGGGCUGCUGGUGAUUCACGACGUGGGCACCACCGUUCGCUACCCGGGCAAUGCCCAUGCUGGGCCAUGGCUGCCAUGUCUCCUGCUUCGUGUCGGUAAGAGGAGGUACACGUGGCGAUUUUGCAGUGUGUGAUUGGUCUCCUAGGCAUGGUAUGUAUUUAGGAGUCUAAGCUGUUGUAUUUUCAAAGGUGGUUUUCUGUGCUGUCAACUUUCGUGUUUACUUUCAAUUGAGCAAGGAAUUGUUUCAAUAAAUUAACAUCUGUAACAAGCUGAGGAUGCAACUGUUAUUGGGCUCUUAUUUAGGCUUUGUGCCUGAACUACCAUUAAGCCUAAAUAAGAGCCCUUUGGAAGUGCCGGUUUAAGAUUAUUUGGGACUUUCAGGAAAGUCAUGAUUUCAGUUUGUGCUUGUGAAGUAUUUUUAGUUUGGUGCUUGUAAUGUGGAAAUACCUUAAACUAUAUCAUGCAUGUAACCAGCUCAUAGACCUUGUUAGAAGCCGCACUUGCACAAAUCCAAAAACUACCAUUUUUCCUAUAAAAAGAUUCCAAAUCCAUCCCAAGUCCACCAAUGAUUGGCAAAAUUUACAAGGAUGAAGUUAGUGGUUUAAUGUGAUGGAGAUGGUAGUAUAGUAUAUUUUUAUGGAUGGUUUUGGCCAAGUCCAUGCAUUGGUUCAAGGGUUCAAAGUGUAAAGUUCUUUGAAAUUUUAUAUCAAUUAAACCAUUUGUAAUUUAUUCUUUUGGAGCUCAUCACAAUUUUAUUUUUUUACUAAAAAAAAAUCCAAAAAAAACCCCCCUAAGAUAGUUGAAAAACCUCAAGUUGUUCCUUUAAGGUAUUUUGAUGUUAUGUAGUAAAUAUCACAUAGGAAAUAUCAUGAAAUCAAAUCAAUUCUUUCUUUUAAGCAUUAAAUUUUCUAUCUACAUUCUUUUUAAAAAUCUAAACCAAAAAAAAAUGAUAUUUUUGUCAAAAUUGCAUCUUUUCUUAUUUAAUUCAAUACUAUUAUCUUCUUUAAGAAUAAUGUAUUGGUAAUUUUUUUAUUUAGUUUUUAUAAAUUUUUAAAAGAAAAAAAAAUACAAUUAUUUAACUUUGAAAAUGCUUAUUUGCAUAGCUUGAGUAGUCUGACUUAUAUACACUUUUUUUGAAGAACUACUUGUGUUUGUAGUUGAACUGUUAGUCUAGUAUAUCUUAUUGUUAUUAGAUUCUUUCCAAUUUUAUUAUAAGAGUGAAUAGUUUUGGUAUUAUAACAAAGUAAUUAUAUCUUGUUACUAAAGUUAAAUUAAUGUUGUUCUUAUAAUAGGCAUCCAUAUUGAUUUUUUUUCGUUCUUGAGCUUUUUUUUACUUAUGCCUUCAUUGCUGCAUAUAUCUUUGAUAAAAAAUAUGCCAAAUUUUUUGCUGUAGGAUUUUUAACUUUUAAAAAGUCAAAAGUAUUAAAUUGUAGAUGAAAACCGUAAUUAGCUUAAAAAGGUGUUUAUAGAAUAGACUAGUAUGCCAUAUAUAAAAUAUAAAAUACUCAAGAUUCUUAUGACUUUUAAAUAACAAGUGACAAUAUAAUUAAGAAAUUCUUUAAAAAUAUUAUUAAUUAGAUGUUCCAAAGUAAUUAGUGCAUUUAAAAGUUCAAAAGACAUGGCAUUAUAUUUGAAAUGUCUAUACCUAAUUCAAAAUUCAAUCUUCCAUUCAUCUCUAUUUUUUAUGCAUAUCAAGUUAUAUUUUUAUAUAGAUCUUUACUUGAUUCAAUUAAUUAAGAAGUCUUGAAAUUAAAAGUUUAUAUAUAUAUAUAUAUAUAUAUAUAUAUAUAUAUAUAUACAUAUAUUAUAGUGAUGUUAUUAAAUUUUUCAUAGUCUACAUAUAUUUAGAGUUAUUUAUUUAUUUAUUUUUGUAAAUAAAAUAAGAAUUCAUGUUGAAAAUUUAAAAUAGGCUAUGAAGUUUUUAAUCAAGUUUUUGUCAAUAUACUUAUUAAGUAUAACCAAUUAGUUCUACAAUAAGCUAUAGAUUGGUCUAAAUGGUAGUUGAAAAACUUUUUGAAGAUUAAUUGAAUAAUCAUGUAGAUAAUGCUCUGAAAGAAUAUUUGCAUUAAUUUUGUCAAAAAUAUCUUGAUAAACUUGAUAUUUUCUUAGAGUGCAACUUAAAAUCUUUCUACUAUGAAAAAUAAGUAUGGUUUAUAUAGCAAAAGAUGUCCCUUCUUUUGUAGCAUAUAUGAAAGUUCUUACAUCUAUCAAUAAGGGUUUGGUUGUAUUAAAUUUAUGGAUUUUUACUUGACUAUCAAAAUUUUGGAUUAAGCUUUAAAAAAGUCAAAGUUACAAGAAAUUUAAUCUAUUUGCGAUUUAUAUAUUUUUUUUAACUAUAAUAGUUUUAAAAUAACUAAAUUAAAGAGAAAUUUAAUGAUAUUAAAUAUUACUAAGCUAUUAUGAUCUUUAAUUUCUACAUUAAAAAAAAUAUCAUAAAUAAUAUUUGUGAAGAAGAGUAAACAACCAUCUAUGACUUUUGCAUGUAUAUGUUUAUUUUUUUUAAUUAAAGAUAUUUCUCAAUUUUUAAAAAAAUCUUUAUUUUUGAAAUAAAGUGAGGCUCUUCAAUCUAACAAGGCAAAGAUUUUGUGAUUUUUUGGUUCUAAACAAACUUCUAUUGUAAAAUAAGGUAAGGGAUUUAAGAAGAGAAUAAGACUUGUAUUAGAUAUUGCACAAGAUUCCAACCACAAAGUCUAUAUUAUAGCUAGAAAUACUUCUUUUUUAUAAUACAUUAUUAUCAUUAGCAAUCAUACUCUUUAUUUUAUAAUUAUAUUAUUUUUUUGAAUAAUAUUGAGAAAUGUGCUUAAGUUCUUUACAAUAUCAUUAUAAUUAUUCUUAACAAUGUUGAGUUUUUAUUUUUUUGCAUAGUAUAAAACUUAAAACAUAUUAUAUCAAUUUGCAUAAAUUUUGGUCUUGAUAAAUAAACUUCUCUUAACUUAGAAAUUAUUUCCAUAACUUGACUUGUAUCUCUCUAAUUAAAUCUUUGUUCUUGGUAUUUUUUAAAGAAUUUAUUGUAGCAUGUAAUGACUUCAAUAAUAAAUUACUCCAAUGAAUUUGCUUUUAGCAUUGUUAAUAAUAAAUCUUUAAUAUUAACUUUCAAUUCAUAUCAAAAUUAAUUGAUAAAGGCUUUACUAUUCCAAUCCAUGUUAUAAGCAUGGAUUUAGAUUUCAACAAUAAGAAUGAAGAAGGCUUUACUCUUGACUCCAUAUAUAUAUAUAUAUAUAUAUAUAUAUAUAUAUAUAUAUAUAUAUACUAUCUAACUAGGAGAUACAUGGUGAUAUUCUAUGGGACCUCUAACAUGUAUCCAACUUAUAAGAUACAUGUCUAACUUAUAAGACAAGUUUUUUAUAUGUAUGCUACAUAGUUAGCUUAUACCACAAGCUACCAAUACAUGUGAUACUUGACUAACUUUUUAGACAAACUUCUAACCUACUAAUCAACUACAAACAUGAUUAAAGUCAAAUUUGCAUAUAUGAAGCUUCUAAGAAGCUAUGCCAUAAGAUAUAAUUAUAUAUAUAUAUAUAUAUAUAUAUAUAUAUUUAUUAUCUAUCGAAUAAUUUAUUUUUAGAUAAUUAAAUAUGAUUGUGAUAGUUGCUUCUCUUGAUUUUUUAAUCUCCUUCAAUAAUAUCCACUCUUCUAUCAUAAACAUCUUUAAUUCUUUCUCAAUUUUCUCUUUUAAUCUUUUGUCUUCAUUUUUUUUUCCACUUCAAAAUUAUUAUUAUAAGAAUCAUUAUUCAUAGAAGCUCAUAGACUUGGAAAAAAUUUACUUGUCAUUUAACCAUAAUUGAGCACAAAGGCAAUAUUAAUAUUCCAACAUACAUAGUUUAUCAACCUCAAAAAACCUAUAUCAACAUCUUAAAAAUAAUCACAAUAAUUUGAAGACAAUCCUAGCAAAACAACCUCAUAAGAAUCUAUACAAGCAAUCUCCUCCUCAUGUCUCUCACAUGAUCUAUUUGAGCAUACAAGACCACUUAUACUAUCAAAUUUUUCCUUUUUCGUAGCAAAAUAAAAUCGUAACACCUAAUACAAUAGAUUAAAGCUUGAAUAUUCAAAGUUGUCUAAACACAAACUUUUCAAUACAAUUGGAACUACAAAAAUAUAAAUUUUAUACAACUCUAUUAAUACACAAUUCAUCCAUGGCCAUACUUUUUAAAACCUAGAAUAUAAAUAUAAUUUCAUCUUUUAUGUAACAUACCUUAGUGUGCAAAUUCACCUAUUUUCUUUUUGUAUAAAGGUGACUUGUCUUAGUAAACACAAUAGUACACCCUCAAAAAUAAGUAGUGCCACUUCUUUGUCUCUUGUCAAUGUAAUUCUUCCUUAUAAAUAUCAUAGCACUUCUAAAAAACUAAUGCUACAUGUUAUUGUACCUUCUUUAGUAAAGUGACAAAAUAUGAAAAGUAAUCCAAAUUGUUUCUUCAUCAAUCUAUAUCUUCACCAUCUUUUUUUUGAAUUGAUAAAAAUAAAAAAUAUAGAGAUGUCUAAUAUUUACCAUAGUAAAAAUCUUAUGCUAUUUCAAACACUAUUUUUGCCACUUUUCUUUGAUGUGAAGUUUGCAUCAAGAUAAGAUAUUGGAAAUAUAAUAAUAUCUUUGUUAUUCCUUUCUAUUCAUCUAUGGAUAAAAACUAUAAUUAGAUCCAUGUCAUACUAUUAUUUUGAGAUCUAAAAAUAAAAGAUCUCAACUAGUAUAUUUAUAUUUUGUAUUAUUUAUAAUAAUAAUGAGUUGAGUAUAUAUUAUUUUUAUAUAUUCCUUAAAAUCUUUUCUUUGAUUCAUCUUGUUUAUUUCUUCAAAAUUAUCUUUUCACCUUUGUUUCAUGUUUACGUUGUACCAUCUACCAAAUUUAUAGACAAUAUAUAUGAAUAUGAUAGACUUAAUUCUAAUUUUAAAAAAUAUUAUAAUCUUAGUAGGUUGGCAGCUAAUUCGUGCAUAAUUGCCUUAAUAUCUUGUCAAUACCAUACUCAAGAGCACAACUUAGACAAUAAUUCUAUCAAUAAGUAAAGAUUUUUCAUCUAUUUACAAUAAUUUUUAUUAAGAAUUUAUUUCUAUGAAUAUGAUAAUUAACAAGAUUCAAUCAAUAGUAAUGCUUGUGUUUUUCUAUGCAAAACAAAGCUUCUGCAUGCUUGUAUCUCCAAGCCUCUUUAUGAAAGAUCAAUUCCUUGAAUUAUUAUUGAUCCAUAACUUAUUGAUACAUAUGCUUGAGUUCCGUCUACAAAUGUAACAUCUAUAUAUCUAGCAUUAUUAAUCCUAUCUAUGACAUUUUUUGACAAUUUCUACUACUCUCUAAUUACACUUCAUUCUAAAACCUUACAUCUCUAAUUUUGUUCCAACUACCAAAAUCAAACUUUAUAAAUUGUGAAAUAAAGUAAACCUCCACUAGUUGGAAGUCUAUCCUAAUUCACAAAAAUUUAAUUAUCUAAGGAAUGUAAUAAAUUCCAAUUAGUAUUUGAUUUAUAUCCAACAAUUCUAAUAGUUCUCUAAUUGACAUUUAAAUAAAUUUUUCUAAUAGGUGAUCUAUUCUAAUUCACAACUAUUAAUUAACUUAUAAUUUGAUUACUUAAGUUGUUUUUUAUUUCAUCUUAAAUUCUUAAUCCUCUUAACUUAGUUAAAAACCACUCACACACUCACAACACAAGGCAUUCAAUUAACUCAAAAACCACAUACUUGAAAGAUAAUUUUUUAAUAUGAUUCAAUUUUAACUUCAUAUGUUUUUUAAUUUUAUUUUUAACUAAUAUUAAUGAUCAUCUAAAAUUCAUAAUCAUCUAAAUUUUUAUUCAAUUAAUAGUUAUCAAAUUUUCAUCCAAUUAAUAGUUAUCAAAUUUUCAUCCAAUUAAUAGUUAUCAAAUUUUCAUCCAAUUAAUAGUUAUCAAAUUUUCAUCCAAUUAAUAGUUAUCAAAUUUUCUUCCAAUUAAUAGUUAUCAAAUUUUCAUCCAAUUAAUAAUUAUCAAAUUUUCAUCCAAUUAAUAGUUAUCAAAUUUUCAUCCAAUUAAUAGUUAUCAAAUUUUCAUCCAAUUAGAAAGAUCAUCCAUUCAAGACCUAACGUCAUCUAUCUUAACCUAAUUCGUCCAUAUCCCUAAUUGUUUUGUCAAUUACAAAUUUUGGCUCAAGUUGAUUUGAUAAAUGUAAUUCAAUUAACAAUCGAUAAAUAACAAUUUUUAAUUCAAAACCUGUGAGAUGCGAUUCCCUUCUGCAAGCUUCACGCUCCCUCUGUGACUUCUUGCUGAUCUUCUCUAAUGUCGAAACCAGGUGAUGAAAUCCUCAAAAACUGAUCAAAGCUGCCACGAUUAGACUUCUAUGAUAGUACUUCUAAACUUGUAUUCCGGUUGAAAGACUAGCAAUUCUUGAGAUUGGUAUAUCACAACGUCGAAGAAGAAGGAAAUUACUCCUCACGAGAACAUUUGGACUAAAUGCGCAAGUACUCGGCAGCAAGAGAAAUCACCCCAUGACACUUAUGUGAUUGUCGAUGUUCACGAAUUAAUUGGACGUUGCCAGCCUAACACUUGGUUCAGUUCAAAUCGAUGAGAUUAAACGAGCUAGCAAUCAUAGGAGGAUGGAUUGUCUGCUCAUCCGCCGCACCCCAGUACAGCGCUUCUUGCAAUCGGAACCAGUAAGUUCCAAGCAACAUCAUGCUGUAGCUCAAAAAACCAUCUGCAUUUUUAAUAUACUUCGACAAUUAAAAUGAACACCUAUUAGUUUCUCCACAGCUACAAGGCCACCAGCGGUCGCACAUCCACAACCAAUUGAAACAAUGCAAAUUGACCCGCAACUCGACCACCAACUACCUUAGCCACUCUUCAUCGCAGCUCCCCACAAUAACUCUAGAACGCCAACAGCAACAAGAUUAGAGAUUCCAAUAAAACGCAGGAACCGGCUCGAUUUGCACCACUAGCAACAACAAAAACUGGAAUCAACCACCACAACACACCUCAGUGUCGAUGCUGUAUCAGCUCGAGGAACACUAAUGUUCAAUGAAAAACUGGAUCAAGCAGCCACUAAAGACGGCUCCAACGAGUUCCUUCGCGAUAGUCCGAGCAAUGCUGAACAGGUUGUUGACGUGCUCGGCCUGAUCUUUGCAAAAAUUGAACCCACCAUCAACGUGAAAGGGAAUGGGAAUAAGAAUACGAAUGCGAAUGGGAUCUUGGGGUGGCUCUUUGUCUUCGACACAGGUCGAGGGAAGGUCGCAGGGGCAGCGACGACGGAGCCCGAGGGGAGCACCGCUACUUCGCUUUGACACAUCUCAAUCGUAUCAAGAACAGCAACAACACCGCACGGCAGUCGCCAAUACUACCAGCGCCCAUCCCGCUUUGGCACUUCAAUCAGGAAAAAAACAAAUAACAAGAGAAGAAAAAAAAAACACUAGCAGUUGCAGUUUCUCAACACAGGCACUGCCUAACAAACUGCCAGCAAUACCGUUUUUGCACCGCAGCGAAGAGGGAAAAGAGAAUGUAGUCCGGGCUCAGCACUUUGCAAGACCAUCACAGGAAAAAAAUACCGAAAACAGCUCUGUCGAAGUCGGAGCUCAAACCACGAAAGGAAAAAAAUAAUAGGAAAAGGGAGAGGGGGUCCGGGGCGGCCUAGACCCCUAUCGGCAAUGAGGCCCGUUGCCCAAUCUCAUCCGUCGGAUACCGCUUGGUUGAUACCCGGAAAUCCUACAAGCCACUGAAGGCUGGACAAUAUACUGGACUAAAAAUCAGAUCGUAUAUUGGGUAGUAUUUUCUACCAUAUUUCCUACCAUAUAUUCUAUGGUAUAGCUAUUAUAUACUCUGCUGUGUUUUUAAACCGUAUGCUACAUUAUAUGCUAGACUUGUAUUUUACCUUCAUAUAUCAUACUGUAUGGCAUUCAUACUCCAUAUGAAAUUCAGUCCUAUAUCGACUACAUAUCCAGAUCGUAUACAACAGUAUUUGGGUCGUACAUACUAGAAUUUUGAAGGUUCUGGAUUCUUUUUACAUGCUUUUAAGAUGCUAUAAUUGAUGCCAAUUUUAUGCCAAUUUUAUGGCCCUCUAAAAUGCUUUUUAUAUGUAAAUCUCCACAAGAUUUUUCUAUAUUAAUCAUAUUUUUUCUAUUAACACUAUUUUGCUCAUAUCUAGCCUUUUUCUAUCUAAUUUUUCACGUAAUAAUUGCACUUGGAAUUCUAAUUAUAUUCUUUUAUUCUAAAAAAACUCUUGAGUUGAUUUGGUGACUUGCAUAAACCUUCAAAACUUUGCUUAGAAAUAUAUGUGCCUUUCAACUUGUGGAAAAAACCACAAUAUAAUGUCAUCUCUUAAAAGCUUUAUUGCACCCAACUCCUGAAUUUGUUACUUGCAACAAGGACAUCAGUUUCAGAUAUGCUCAUAAAAAUCCACACAUAAUUUGAAGAAUUCCAACUACCCUGCAUCAAUACAAAAUAGUAUGAAUCUAUCUCCAUUUAUUUUAUUCAUUUAAUAUAUAUAUAUAUAUAUACAUAAUUUUUUUCCCUAAUUUUUUUAAUAUUAUAGGUGAUAUUUUUUAAAUAUAAAUUUAAUAAGUAUAAAAUUUAUAAUAUUUUUUUAAAAAAAUACUAUUAUCAAAUUUAAGCUUUUAAUUGCAAUAUAUAUAUAUAUAUAUAUAUAUAUAUAUAUAUAUAAAUAUAUAUUAACUUAAUAAUAAUAAUAAUUAUAAUAUAUUUUUUAAAAAUAUCUAUAGAAUUCAAUAAUCAUAUCUCAAAGUAUUAAAGAUGUUUUAUUACUUUAUGAAAAAUUUUAAGACAUAUUUUGAAGACUAUUGCAAAUCAAGUAUUUUAUAUAUAGCUAAUUUAAUGAAGUAUUGAUGCUUAGUUAGUAAAUGAAUACAAAAUAAUUAUACUAUUAUUAUAUUACUUAAAUUUUAUAUUAUAUUAUUAAAAAAAUUAUAUAAAUAUUAAUAUAUUAAUAAAAAUAUAAUUAUUUAAUAUAUUUUUAUAUUUUAAAAAUAAUAUUACUUUAUAUCAUAUAUAAGUCAUAUAUAAUAAAAUUAAAAAUAUAUAUAAUUUAUUAAAAUUUCUAAAUAAAAAAAUAUUAUAAGACUAUAUAAUUAAUUAUUUAAUUAAAUUUAUAAUUUUAUUAUCUAUAUCUUGAAAAAAGAAAUUAAAAUUUUAAAAAUAAUUAAAUUUUUAUCUAUAAAAUCUAACUUAAUUAAUUAUUUAUAAAUUACUUUUUUUUUUUUUGUAAAAAAUAGCAUAUGAUGAUAAUAGUGUGUUAUAGAAGGAUUGGGGUCAAAGAAUAAAAUCAUCAAAGAUUCAUAUUUCAUGUUUGUAUUAUUUUAUUGCUACUAGAAUGCCAAAUUUAUUGAAUUGAUAUUAUUAUCUACAAAUUGGAAUUCCAUAAUUUAAAAUAUUUGUUCAUUUUAAACUCAUUUGGCAUAAAAAAUUGUGCUAAAAUAUUUAAAUUUGACAUUAUUCUAAAUUUUUUAUUUCUUUGUUACAAACAUAUAUUUAUUAUAUUUAUUAUUUAAGUAAUAUAAAUAGGUAGAAGUAAUUAAAAGUAGAUUGAUUUCACAAUAUUUUUUUUAAAAAGCUUCUUAGAAGCUUCAUGGAUAUUACUUUGAUUUUAUAUGUAUUUUUAGUUAAUUAGUAGGUUAGAAACUUGGUCAACAAAUUAAUCACAUGCGAUACAUGUUGAUAGCUUGGAGAAUAAGUUAACUAUGUGGCACCCAUAUAAGAAACUUGCCUUAUAAGUUAAGAUACAUGUUAUGCAAAGUCAAAAUGUUGUUACGGAUAUAUAUAUAUAUUUAUUCUAAUAUUUAUUUAUAUAAUGAAGUAAAAAUAGAUAAAAGUAGAUUUAUUUCAUAAUAUUUUUUAGAGAUGCUUCUUAGAAGCUUCAUAGAUAUUGCUUUAACUUUACAUGUGUUUGUAGUUGAUUGAUAGAUUAGAAACUUGAUCAACAAGUUAAUCACAUGUUGGUAGCUUGUGGAGCAAGCUAACUAUAUGGUAUACAUAUAGAAAACUUGCCUUAUAAGUUAAGAUACAUGUUUUGUAAAGUCAAUACUUUUUAAAGAUUCUAUAAGACAUCUCUACAUAGCUUCUAGUUAAUAGUAUAUAUGGAGGCAGAAAAGAAGUAUUUUUUACUCUUGUGAAUGCCUUUCUAGUCUUUAGUCGUGUUUUAAGACUUUCUAGUCUUCUUGUUUUUAGUAAUAGUCAUUCUAGUUUAAUAUUAUAUCAUCUUUAAAUGAUUUUUUAGUCUUUUAAGUGGCACAAAAGUGUAUUGACAUUUUAAUUCUUAGAUAUUUAUAUCCUUGCUAAUUUGACAAGAGUACUAACUUAUUGUUCUUGCUUUUAGAAGUGAGUGAAUAACUCCACUUCUAUUGUUGUGUUUUAAAGGUUUCAAAUUAUCCACCUUCAAAUAAAUUAUUUAUUUUUCUAAUACCAAUUUUUUCUUUAAAUAGAACUAAUUAUCUUUCUUUAUAAAAAAAUUCAUUCAAUAUUAGACAUUGUAAAUUAUUCUCUUUUAAUUGACUUGAGGAUUUAUCAAGUUAUUUGAAAUAGAUGAAAAAAUCAUAGAUAUUAUAUUUGGAAGAAAUAAAAAUAGAUUUGCAACUAUUGUAGAUCUUCAUGAAUAUAUAAAUACUUUUAGAGUAGAAAUUUCACACAUCACUAGUACCAACCAUAGAAACAAUAAUUCUAUGUCUAUAAAAGAAGUUCAAAAUUUAUGGCAAGAAGUUGUAUAAUUAAAAGAAUCAUGUAGAUCAAAAUCACAACCAAAUUUAAGAAAUUUUACUUCUACAAGUACGAUGGAUACACAAAUUAGUAUGCCCAAUAAAUUUGAUGCAACAAGAUCAAAAUUUUGAAGAUUUUUGCAACAAAUUAAGCUCUAUCUAAGGUUGCAUUCCUUCUAAUACCUUGAUGGACUAACUCAAGUUGGAUUCACAGGCACACUUAUAUUUAAAAGUAUACUUUUUUGAUUUAUAUUAUUAAUAAAAAAAAGAUUUAUAACUCCUUUAUGAUUUGAAUUCAUUCCAAGCAGUUUAUGGCUACAUUUGGAGAUAGUGAUUGAAAAAGAAUAACAAAGACAAAUCUCUUAUUUUUACAACAUGGAUUACAAUAAGCUAUCAUAUAUGCUAAUAAAUUCUAAAAUCUUGCUUGCAAUAUGGACUAAAAUGACAAAGCCUUUAUCAAUCAAUUUUGAUAUGGAUUGAAAGAUGACGUCAAAGAUUUAUUAUUGAUAUGUUAAAAAAAAAUCUUUAAAAUAAUUUAUUACUCAAGCCAUUGCAUGUGACAAUUGAUUAUUUGAAAGGCUUCAAGAUCAAAGAUUUGGCUCGCGAGGAAUAAACUAAGUAAUGACAAUAGCUUCCAAGUUUUUAGAAACUUAUUCAUCAAAAUAAAAAUCAAUGAAAAUUAAAACAAUACACUUUAAAUCCUUCACUAAGCAAAAAAAUUCUUGACAUUAUUAAGAAGGUUUGUGCUUAUAUUGUGGACGAGUUAAACAUAUUGUUUUAUAUUUUUUAAAGAAGCAAUCUAAAUACAAAAUAAGAAAGAUAUUUGCCAAAGAAGAAAUGUGUCAAAAAAUGAGUUUUUCUAGCUAUAAUAAAGAUCGUACGGCUAGAAUCAUGUGCAAUACCUAAUAAAGAUCAUAUUUUUUCCUUGGAUCCCUCACAUUGUUUUAUAAUAGAUAUGUCUUUAGGACUUGAAAAUCACAAAAUCUUUACAGUAUUAGAUUUCAGAGACUUAGCUUGUUUUAUAUAUAAAGACUUUAUCAAAAAAAUAAGAAAUAUCUUUACUCAAGAAAACUAAAUUCAUACAUGUAGAAGUCAUAAAUGAUUGUUUGUUGUCUUUUGGAGACAUUAUUAAAGAAUUUUUUCUUUUACAUGUAACAAUUAAAGAUCAUAAUAGUACAAUAAUAUUUAAUACAAUAAGAUCGUCCUUCAAUCCAAUUAUUUUGGAAUUAUUGUGAUUAAAAAAAUAUAACCUUCAAAUAAAUUGAAUUUUUUAUAAUUUUAAUUAUUUCUAUAAUUUAAUUUAAAAUAAUAAUAGUAAAAUAAAAUUAGAUAAGCUUAAUAUAUUAAAACUCUUCUUGAUAGAUGCAAGAACCUUCACACAUAUGACAAAAGAAGGGUCAUUUUUUGCUAUGUAUGCUACAUCUAUUUUCAAUAGUAAAAAGACGUGAAGUAGUAUUCUUAACUAGUAUUGAAAUUUUCAAGAUAUUUUUCAAAAGAAGAAUGCAGAUAUUCUUUUAAAGAAUUGAUUCUAUGAUUGUAAAAUUAAUCUAUGAGAGCGAAUUCAACUACCAUUCAAAUCCAUCUAUAACUUAUCUCAAAAUGAAUUGAUUGCACUAAAGAAAUAUAUUGAUAAGAACUUACCUAAAAAUUUCAUAUGUCAUUUAAAAUUUCUAGUAGGAACUCCAAUUUUAUUUGUGAAGAAAAAAGAUAGAUCUUAGUGGAUGUGCAUAGACUAUUGAGGACUUAAUAAGUUCACAAUCAAGAAUAUGUAUCCCUUAGUUUUAAUUUUAAGUCUUCUUGACCAAUUCAAUUAAAUAAAGAUAUGUAAAAAAAUAGAUUUAGGAAGAAUAUACAACUUUGUUUCCAUUAAAGAAGGAAAUGACUGAAAGAUUACUUUUCAAACUAGGUAUAGACAUUUUGAAUAUAAUGUCAUACUUUUUGGACUUAUAAAUUUACUAACUACUUUUCAACAUCUCAUAAAUAAUGUCUUUUAUGAGUUUUUUUAAUGAUUUUAUUGUAUGUUAUUUAGAUGAUAUUUUAACAUAAUCUAAGAAUGUAGAAGAACAUGAAUUUUAUAUUUUUCAUGUAUUACAAAAAAUUAGAAAUGCAAGAUUAUAUGUAAAAAUAAAAAAAUAUGUAUUCUAUACUAUUCAAGUUGAUUUCUUAAAAAAUUUCAUUUUCAACAAAGGAUUAAUGAUGGAUCUUAAGAAAGUUCAAACUAUUAUAGAUUGGAAGUUCCAAAAAUAGUCAAAUAUAUGUAAUAUUUCUUGAGAUUUUUUAAUUAUUAUCAAAUCUUCAUCUUGAAUUUUUUUCAAGUUAUAGCUCUUCUUACAUGUAUGAUAUGUAAAGAAAAACUUAAGUUGAGUAAAGAAGCUAAAACAUCUUUUAAAACCUUGAAGACAACAUUUAUUUUUGUACCAAUUUUGUAUUGUAUCAAUUUUUGAAUAUAUUCUUUAUAGGAAGAAAUCCAUCAGAUUUUGUUAUAGAUGCUAUUUUAUUAAAAAUGGGAGAAAAUGAUAAGCUCUAUUUGGUAGUUUUUUAUUCUAAGAAAUUUUUAAUGACAAAGAUUAAUUAUGAGAUCUAUGACAAAAAGCUUAUUACAAUUGUAGAUUCAUUUCAAGAAUAGCAUCAUUAGCUAGAAAGUAGUUUUAGUCCAAUUAUUAUAUAUAUGGAUCAUAAGAACUUCAAAUAUUUUAUAUUGGCAUGUAUUUUGAAUUGUUUCAAGCUUAUUGGAAUAUGUCUUUAUUAAAAUUUGAUUUCAAGAUCACCUAUAGAUCCAAAAAAACAACAAGGUUUAUUCAAUGUUCUUUUUAAAUAUUUUUAUCUUACACCAAAAGAAAGAGAUGUAACUUUUGAUCAAUAAAGAAUAAUUCUCUUAAAAUUGGAGCUUUUUCAUCUUUGAGCAAUAAAAUUAAUAUUGAUUAUUGAUUGAAUUAUUUUCAAGAAAAAUUCAAUCAAGUAUAUCUUUUGAUCUUCUUAUUUAUGAUACCAAAAAUAAUUCCUUUAAGUCUUAUGAUACUUCCAAGUUUGAGUUCAAAAAUAAUCUACUCUACUUCAUGAGAUAAUUAUAUAUUUUAAAAGAUAAAGUAUAAUUACAUAUUCUUCAAGCUUGUUAUGACUAUUUUAUAGUUAGAUAUUUUGGAUACAACAAGAUUUUGAAGCUAAUAUUUAAAAAAAAUUGAUGGCUUCAAAUGUAGAAGGUAGUCGUAGAUUUUGUAUAAUUAUAUAAUAUUUGUUUAAGUUCCAAAAUCCCUCAUCAUUGACCUUAUAGACUUUUUGAUCAAUUACUUAUUGUAAAAUAAUCAUGGUCUUUUGUUUUUAUAGAUUUUAUUACAAAACUUUUAAUUUUAGAUUUGUAUGAUUUUAUAUUUAUAAUAAUAGAUUAUUUUACAAAGAUAACAUAUUUUUUACCAUGAAUAAAAUCUAUCAUAGGUGAAAAAAUGGCUAAAUUUUUUUUUGACAAUUUUUAUUGCUAUCAUGGAUUAUCAAAGGAUAUUAUAUCAGAUAGGAAGAUUCAAUUUAUAUCAAGAUUUUAGAGAAUCCUUUUUAAGAUUUUAAAGAUAGAUAUAAAACUAUCUUCAAUUUUUCAUCCUCAAAUUGAUAGGCAAAUAAAAUUGGUAAAUAAAGUUCUAAAGUAAUAUUUGAGAUAUAUCAUCAAUUAUCAUCAAGAUGAUUAGUUAAUUCUUUUGCCAUUGGCAGAUUUUGUGUACAAUAAUUUAGUACAUUUUUUUAUUCAACAAAUACUUUUUCUUUGUCAAUUAUGGUUAUCAUCUAUGACUUGAUACUUUAAAUUUUUUAAAAGUUGAUAAUCUUAUGGCAAAAUUUUUGGAAAAUUAUUUGUCAAAGCUACAUGCAAUAAUGAAGGUACAUUUAAAAGAAGUUCAAGAAUGACAAAAAAAAUCAAUGUGGAUGCCUAUUGCAAAGAACAACCAUAAUUUAAUGCAGGUGAUAAGGUAUGGCUAUUUUAUUGUAAUAUCAAGAUUACUUGUUCUUGUGACAUGUUGGACUAUCAUAAGUUUGGAUGUUUUUUUAUUAGUAAACGAGUCAAUUUCAUUGCUUAUCAAUUACAUCUAUUGUAAUCUAUAAAGAUUCAUUUUAUAUUUCACAUAUUUCAUCUUAAGUCAAAUAAGAUAAUGAAUAUCUUUGGAAGAAGACAAAUAUCACUUCGUCCUAUAGAAGUGAAUAAUAAUCAAGAAUUUGAGUUGAAAGAAGUCUUAAAUUCAAGGUGGCACCAAAAUAGAUUAGAAUGCCUUAUUCAUUAGCGUGGAUAUAAUAUUAAUGAACACACAUGGAAGCUAGCAAAAAAUCUUAUAAAUGUAAUAAAGAAUGUUGAGGCUUUUUAUUAACAAUAUCUAUAAAAACCAAGAUAAAAAAUAACAUAUCUUUGCUAUAAAAAAAUAAAAUAAAACAAAGAUAACAUUCUAUCUUUGAUUCUUGUUUAUAAUUUUUGUGUAUUUGUGACUUUAAUAAGAUAGAGAAUCAACAACCAAUAGAUUCAAUUUAAGAACUAUCACUUACUGACUUAUCAAAUAAGACAUUGCUAUUGUCACAACCUUCAAGACCAUCUAAUUGAGAUUAAAAUCUUUAAGAAAAAAAUAUCCUUUUCAAAUAAAUGGCAAGAUACAAAAUAUUUGAUAUCAUAACUUUGGAAAGAACUCUUCAUGUUUGAUGAUUUUAUUAGAAAUAAAAAUGACUCUUGAUGAUAUUUCAAAUGUUUUAUUUGAAAAAAGUUAUAAAGGUGUCAAUAAUGAUCAAACAAGAGGAUAAACUUUCCAUCCUAAUAUGGGAGACUAUUGAUGACUAAGAAGAUCUAUCAACUAUUUGUAAAGAUUACAAAGAUCAAAAUAUGUAAUAAUUAGAAUUCACUGUAUCUUGAAUUUUUUCAAUACAUAAUGACCACUCCUUAUGGAACUCAUUCCUAGAAGAAGGAAAUAAUAUUACAAAAAUAUAUAUUUAUUCUAAUAUUUAUCUAUAUAAUUAAAUAGAAAUAAGUAAAAAUAGAUUUAUUCUUUAAUUUUUUUUUUAUUGAUGCUUUUUAGAAGCUUUAUAGAUGUUACUUUGACUUUAUAUGUAUUUGUAGUUAAUUGAUAGGUUAGAAACUUGGUCAACAAGUUAAUCAUGUAUUCAUAGCUUGUAAAAAAAGUUAAUUAUGUGGCAUACAUAUAGAAAACUUGCUCUACAAGUUAAGAUACGUGUCUUGCAAAGUCAAUACUUUUUGGAGGUCCUAUAUAUUAUUACUACAUAGUUCUUAAUAAAGAUUAUAUAUGGAGAUAAGAAUGAAGCAUUUUUUACUCUUAUCAAUGUCUUUUUAGUUCUUAAUCUUAUUUGAAGACUUUUUAGUCUUUUUAUCUUUAGUAAUACCUAUUUUAAUUUAAUAUUAAAUCAUCUUUGAGUAAUUUUUUAGUCUUUUGAAUAGCACAAGAAUAUAUAUAUAUAUAUAUAUAUAUAUAUAUAUAUUAAAAGCAGAUUUUUUUUCAUAAGAUAUAAAUAUAUUAAAAGUUGUAGAUUAUUUUUUUUUAAAUUGAUAUUAUUUUUAAUAUUUCUUUUGUUUUCAAGUUCUUUCUUUUACUUAUCUUAAGAAAUAUUAAACAUCUCUUUUUCUCUAAGUCUUAUCAUUGUAGAGCUUAUCAAAAUAAAGAAUGCAAUGGCAAAAAUAUAAGAAUAAUUAAAAGAGUUAAUGCUUAAAAUGCAUCAACUCAAUUUACUAUGAUAAAGAAGAAUAAGAAAGCUUGAAAGUGGAGACAUAGAAAUGAUUGAAGUUGCUUCAAUAUCUAUACCAAAUCAUAUUCUUUCUCUCGUGAUGGAACACCAUUUAAGUAUUAGAGAACCAAGAAUUGCCUUACUUGAGAAGUUUGAUGAUACAAAAUAAAAGAUUUGAGGAUUCAUCAAUCAAGUACAAUUAACAAUUAAACCUCAAUUCUAAAGCUAUUUAAUUCAAAAAUAAUUUGUCAACUUUAUUGAAAUAUUACUUUUUGGUUUUGUAUUAUCAUAAUUUUUUUUUUUUUUUUGAAUAAUAUGAUCUAAUAUUGGACAAUUUGAAAGCUUUUUUGGUAAAGUUUUGAUCUAUACAUAAAAAUAUGAUGCAAUUUAUGUUGUAAAAAAUAAGAUUUAUAUUUUUCUAUAAAAAAAUCAAUGUAUAAUAUUUUAUGCUUUAUAACUUUAAAAACUUAUAAUUGAUAUGAAGUGGAAUAAUAUUGAAUUUAUUAGCCAAUUAUUUUAUAGAUUAUAAUAUGAAGUAAAGAAAUUGAUGCUCUAUUUAUGUAAUCCUCCAAUAUUGAGUUAAGAAAUUGAUUUUGCUUUAAAGUGUGAUAAUUGACUUUUUUGAUUUUGGUCUGAGAAUUGCAUAUGUAGGCUUCAAUGUUAUUACAAUUCAAUGGCAGUACCAACAUCUUUUAAGUACAUACCUUUGAAAGUAGAAGAUAUACAAAUUGAUGUCAUAUGUUUAAAAUCUCUUAUUGAGCAAGAAAAGACUCAUUGUUAUAAAAAAAGAUAAGAUUUAUAUUAUGGAAAAUCAAAUUAUAUUAUUCAAAAUUAUCCAAAGAAAUAAUACAAUUAUAAAAUAAAAAGUACAACUAUAAAAAAAAUAAUAUGUUAGAAAAUAAGUUUGUUUAGCUAUAAUAAGGAUUAGGUGGCUGGAACCUUGUACAACACCUAAUAAAGGUCCUAUUUUUUCUUUGGAACCUUCCCUUUGUUUCACAAUAGAUAUUAAUUUAAGACUUAAACAUCAUAAAGUUUCUAUCUUACUAAAUUUAAGAGCCUUAAUUUAUUUUUUAGAUGGAUUUUUUAAAAGGUACAACAUAUCUUUAGUAAAAAAAAAAAAAAAAAAAAAAAAAAAAAAAAACCUUUUCUUAUAGAAGUCAUAAAUGAUCAUUUAUUAUGUACUAGAGACAUUAUUUAUAAAAAAAAUCCUUUAAAAGUAGUAAUUAAUGAUCAUAGCAGCUUUGUGAUAUUUAAUAUCAUUAGAUCUUUUUUAAUUUUAUUAUUUUAGAUUUAUUAUACUUAAAAAAAUAUAAUUCUUAAAUAAAUUAGAUUUUUUAUAGUCUUGACUUUUUUCAAAGUAUAAGUAAGAAUAUAAUUAAUUAAGUAGAAAGUCAUAAGUUUAGCAUAACCAAACCUAUAUUUGUAGAUGCAAGAACUUUUUUGUAUGUUGCAAAAAAAUGAUCACCUUAUAUCAUUUAUGCUAUACUUGUUCUAAUAGAAAAAAGACUUCAAAUGGCAUUUCUAGCCAGUAUUAAGAUUUUCAAGUUAUAUUUGAAAAAGAAAUGUGAAUAUUAUUUUGAAAUAUUAUCUCUAUAAGUACUCAAUUGGCCUUUAAAAAAGAGUUUAACUAUCAUUUGGACCAAUCUAUAAUUUAUCACAAAAUGAAUUGGUUGAACUUAAAGAAUAUAUUAAAGAAAAUCUAGCCAAGAACUUCAUACACCAUUAUAAAUCUCUAGCUAGAGUUUUAAUUUUAAUUAUGAAGAAAAAAGAUGGAUCAUUACAGAUAUGUCUUGAUUAUCAAGGAUUCAAUAAGAUCACCAUUAACAAUAAUUACUCGCUACUUUUGAUAUCUAGCCUUCAAGAUCAGUUGAAUCAAGUUAAAAUCUAUACAAAAAUAGAUCUACAAAAGUCAUACAAUUUGAUAUGUAUUAAAAAAUAUAUAUAUAUUACAUUUCAAACUAAGUACAAAUAUUUUGAAUAUAAUAUCAUGCCUUUUGGAUUUACAAAUGUACUACCAACUUUUCAACAUCUAAUAAAUGAUAUUUUUUGAGAGUUUUUGGAUGAUUUUAUUAUUUGUUAUUAGAAAAAAUAUUUUUAAUUAUUCUAAAAAUAUAAAAUAUAAAAUUCAUUUUUAUUAUGUGUUAUAAAAAUUAAGAAAUAAGAGACUCUAUGUCAAGAUAAAAAAGUGUACAUUUCAUAUUAUUCAAGUCAAAUUUUUAGGAUACAUCAUUUUAAAUGAUGUAUUUAUGAUGGAUUUUUAAAAAAUUCAAACUAUUAUGGAUUGAAAGAUUCCGAAAUUGUAAGAGAUAUCUAAUACUUUUUGAAAUAUGUCAACUACUACCAAAUCUUUAUUAAGGAUUUCUCUCAAGUUGCAAUUCCACUUACAUGUUUAACUUGUAAAGACAAACUUCAAUAGAAUUAAGAAGCAAAAAUAAUAUUUAAAGUUUUGAAGAAAGCCUUUAUUUUUACACCAAUCUUAUAUCAUAUCAACUUUUUGAAGCUAUUUUUUUUUUAUAGAAAUAGAUACAUCAAACUUUGCUUUGGGUGUUGCAUUAUUGUAAACAGAAACAAAUGAUAAACUUCACUUUAUAGUUUUUCAUUUUAAUUUUUUUUAACAACCAAGAUCAACUACAAGAUCUACCAAAAGAACUUCUUGCAAUCAUGGAUUUAUUUCAAAAAUAGUGCCAUUAUCUAGAAGUCAUUCCUAGUCUAAUCACUAAAUAUAUAUGAAUCAUAAGAUCUUUGAGUAUUUUAUGUUAAUACAUGUUUUGAAUCAUUGCUAAGUCUAUUAGAGCAUAUCUUUGUCAAGAUUCAAAUUAAAGAUCACUUAUUUACUAGAAAAAAAAUAAGGUUUAUUAGAUAUACUUUCUAAAUGAUCUUACCUUAUACUAAAGAAAAUAAAUUUUUCUUUUGAUCAAUAAUAAAUAGUUCUCUUGAAGCCAAAAAAUCUUCAUUUUUGAGUAAUGAAAUUAAUAUUAAUUAUUAAUUCAAUUUUUAUUAAGUAAUUUCAAUCAAGUAUGUCUUUUAAUUUUCUUAUUCAUGAUAUUAAAGAAAAUCUUUCAAAGUCCUAUGAUACUUCUAAGUUUGAAUUCAAAAAUAAUCUAUUAUAUUUCAAGGAAUCCUUAUAUGUUUCAGAAGUUGAAACUUGAUUACAUGUUCUUUAAGCUUCUCACAACUUUCUAACAAUAAGACAUUUUGAAUAUAAUAAGACUUUGAAACUAAUAUCUGAAGAUUUUGAUAGUUCAAAAUAUGGAAGGUAGUUAAAAAUUUUAUAUAAUCAUGUGAUGUUUGUUCAAGAUAAAAAAUUCCUUGUUAUCAUCUUUACAGACUUUUUCAACCAUUAUCUAUUUCAAAAUAAUCAUGGUCUUUUAUUUUUAUGGAUUUUAUUAUAGAUCUUCUGGUCUAAGAUUCUUAUGACUUCAUAUUUGUGAUAAUAUAUUAAAUCAUGUAAAAAAUCUAUCAUAGGUAAAGAAACAAUUAAACUUUUCUUUGAAAACAUCUAUUGCUAUUGUGGAUUAUUUAAAGAUAUUAUAUAAGAUAGAAGAACUUAUUUUAUAUCAAGAUUUUAGAGAAUACUUUUUAAACUUCUAAAGAUAGACAUAAAACUAUCUUUGGCUUUUUAUCCUCAAAUUGAUGGAUAUAUAAGUAUGUAAAUCAAGUUUUAAAAUAAUAUUUGAGAUGUACCAUCAACUAUCAAUAAGAUGAUUAGAUAAUUUUUUUGCCAUAAGUAAAGUUUUCUUAUAAUAAUAUGAUAUAUUCUUCUAUAUAAUAUACACCUUUCUUUCCUAAUUAUGGUUAUCAUCUACAACUUGAUGACUUUAAUUUUUUAAAAUUUGACAAUCUUAUAGCAAAUAUUGUUUUGUUAUAUCAUAUUAUAACAAAUUAUUUAUUUGAUUUAUAUACAAUAAUGAAGGUACAAUUAAAAGAGGUUCAAGAAUAACAAAAGAAUAAUAUAAAUAUAUAUCACAAGCAAUGAGUCUAUUUCUAUAUUGGUGAUAAGGUAUGAUUAUUUUAUUAUAAUAUUAUAACUAUUUGCUCUUGUCACAAAUUGAAUUAUUGUAGACUUGGAUUUUUUUUUAUUUAUGAAUAAGUCAAUCUAAUUCUAUAUUGAUUAUAUCUACCAGAGUCUCAUAUUUCAUGUAUUUAUUUUAAAAUCAUAUAAGACAGUGAAUAUUUUUAAAAGAAGACAAAUAUCAUUACUUUCUAUAGAAAUAGAUAAUAAUCAUGAAUUUGAGAUAAAAGAAGUCUUAGACUCAAGGUGGUGCCAACUUAGGUUAAAAUAUCUUAUUCAUUGGCAUAAAUAUAAUAUUAGCAAAUAUACAUGAAAGCCAACAAAAAAUCCUAUAAAUGCAAUAGAGAAGGUUAAAGAUUUUUAUCAACAACAUCUAUCACAAUGAAGAUAAAACAUAAAAAAAUCCUUUGCUAUAAAAGAAACACGAUUUUAAAAAAAUUGUAUUCUAUCUUUAUUCUUGUUUAUAGUUUUUGUGGUAUUGAAGAGAUCAAGAAUCAAGAGCCAAUAGAUUCAAAUCAAGUGCCAUCAUUUGUAGACUAAUUAGACAAGACAUUAUAAUUAUUAUAAUUUUUAAGAUAAUAUAAUAGAGAUGAAGAUAUUUAAAAGUGACAUGUUCUUCCUCAAAUAGAUGGUAAGAUACAAUACAUUUGAUAUCACAACUUGGAAAGAGAGUCUUGAUAUUUGAUGAUUUUAUUGGAGGUAGGAACAACUCUUGAUGGUAUUACAAAUGUUUCAUUUGAAAGAAGUUACAACAGUUUCAACAAUGAUCAUAUAACAUGGUGGUCUUUUCAUCCUACAAUGAGAUAUUAUCAAUAGAUGAGAGGACCUAUCAACUACCUUCAGAGGGAACAAAGGUCAAAAUACGUGGCAAUUAUAAUUCACUGUAUCUUACACUUCUUCAACAUAUAAUCAUCGAUCUUUAUGGAACUUAUUCUUAAAAGGAGAGAUAAUGCAAUGGAUAUAUAUUUAUUAUAGUUAUUAUCUAAGUAAUAUGAAUAGAUAGAAGUAAGUAAAAAUAGAUUAAUUUCAUAAUAUCUUCUAGAAAAGAUUCUUAAAAAUUUUAUAGAUUUUAUUUUGACUUUACAUAUAUUUUUAGUUGAUUGAUAAAGUAGAAACUUGGUCAAAAAAUUUAUCAUAUACCACACAUAUUAAUAGCUUGUAAAACAAGCUAACUAUGUAGUACCUAUAUAAAAAAAUUACCUUGCAAAUUAAGAUACAUGUUAUGCAAAGUCAAUACAUUUUAGAAGUCCUAUAAAACAUUGACACAUAGCUUCUAGAUAGAUAAUAUAUAUAGAGGCAAGAAUGAAGCCUUCUUCACUCUUAUCAAUUCUUUUUUUACUUCUAGUCUAAUUUCAAGAGUCUCUAAUCUUUUGGCAAUAGCCAUUCCAAUUUUUUUUAAUAUAUAUAUACUUUCAUAUUUCUAUUUAUUAUAAUUUUUUAAAAAAGUCUCACUUCUUUAUUUGUUUUCAUUUAGUUCUUGUCCUUGAUACUUUUUUAAUUAUAAUCACUCAUUUUUUGUAAUAUCAUUAUCAAGGAAUAUUAAUAUUUAAAAUUUUAUAUUUAAAAAUAUACAUAAAAAGUGUUGGAUAGAUAAAGAAUCUAUUGUAUUUUUUUAUUUUUUUAUUUUUUUAAUACAACUCUUCCUAUAUUUAUUUGAUUGUGCAAUAACACGGCUAUAGAAUUUAUAUGAUUUUUUUCAAUAACAAUCUAAAACAUAUGCAUAGUAAGCACAAUGAUGUAAACUAAUACAAGAAGUAAUUAUAAUAAUUAUAAUUAUUAAGUAAAUAGUAUGAAAUAAACUUCAUAAUUACAUCUUUUUCAUCUAUACUUUUUCUUGAUAAUGCUAUAGAUAAUGUCAUAAUUAUUUUUUAUAGAUUUCUUUUUAGCAUCAAAUCUAUCAACUCUAAGUCAAUCCAUGCUAAAUUGUAGCAAUGUUUGUUUGAUCAAUAAAAUAGAAUAUCAAAGUUGAAUUAUUUUUACAAGUAUUAUGUUUAAAUUACAUAUAUAAACAUGCAAAAAACUCAAAUUUCAACAAAAUAUAUACUUAAAGAAGUACAAAAAAAUAUAUAAAUAAAAUUUGAAGUUUUAAAGUCUAAAAUAUCAACUCUAUAUUAUAUUUUUAUUUUUUCCAUAAUAAAUUGUAUAUAAUACAAUAGAUAAGAAACUUUUAAAAAAUAUUUUUUAACAUAUAAUAUCUUUUGCUUCUAAUAAGAUGUGCUUAAAAGAAGAAUUUUUAGACUUUGUUGAUUUUAUUACAAAUCAUUUUUUUAGUAUUAAUUAUUUACAAAAAUAAAAAAGAAUAAAUUCAUAAUAUUUUUUUUCUUUUUAAAAUAAUUAUUUUUUAUGAUUUUAAUACAUCAUAAUAAAAUAAAGUCUCUACAGUUAAAUCUUGUAUAAAACUCAAAGUUGCCUUAACUAACAUGUAGAAGCUAAAAUACUUCUUAAUGAGUUCUAUGAUUUGCUUAUCUUCAAUGUGCGCUUUUAUUUAUAAGUGAAACUUUUUUUCACAAAAACUUUGCAUGAAUAGCUUGGAAAGACCAUUCUUAGAUAAAUACAUGAUCAAAUCGAAUAGAUUCUAUUGAAUCAAAUAUUCUAAAAGAAGUUCAAUAUUUAUCAUAUUCAUGACAACUAUAACAUUUAAGUUGCAAUUAAAUCAGAUACUUGAAUGUAAAAAUAAUGACUGAAAAAUGCUUACAACUUUUUGUCCUCAUCAAAGAUGCUACAAGAUGUAAUAAUCAAAAAACAUCUAUCUUUAUUAGAAUCUAACAACCAAACUUAAUAAAAUAAAUACAAUCAGUUUGAAGUUUAUUUUAUAUAAUUAGCUAGGCAUGCAAGCAAUUACUAAUCUAAUUAUAUGCAUUUGAUACACAUUAUUAUUAAUCUAAAAAUUUUAUAAAAAUAUUCUUAUACAUAAAAUCAAUCAUUUUUAACAUGAGCAUUAUAGGCGCAUUCAUUUCAAUUAAUGCCACUUAUCAUAAGAAUUCUACACUUAUAAUAUUUUGAAGUUGCAUCAAAAUCGUAAAUAUAUUAUUAUAGAUUAUUUAAAAUAUGACAACUAACGAGCCUUGUAACUAAGUACCAACAUAAAAAUAUAAUUUUUAUUAAAAGCAUGAUAAGUUAAAUUCUAUAUUGAUUCAAAGAGAUAUUAAGAUGCAAAGACAAAUCAUUUAUUCAAUUCUACAAAUUUUAGGUGGCAAUUAUUUAAUACACAUUGAUAAUCAAAUUAUUAUGCAUAGAACAUUGAUGAAGAUUUUUAAAUAAUUUUAAUUUAUAAAAUUUAAAAUAUAUUAUUAAAAGACUAAUAUAUUUAUUGCAAGUACAAUAUAAGAGUAUUUAUUGAAUAAAAUAUAUUUUGUCCUUUUUUGCUUUUAUAAUAGCAUUUGAAGAUACAUUUACAUUGUACAAUUAGGAUUGCAAUGGAAGUGACUCAAAUUUCACUUAAAUUACAANNNNNNNNNNNNNNNNNNNNNNNNNNNNNNNNNNNNNNNNNNNNNNNNNNNNNNNNNNNNNNNNNNNNNNNNNNNNNNNNNNNNNNNNNNNNNNNNNNNNUGUAGGAGAGAAGUGGCGGUCCGCAAUGCAGGUUGAAAACCGCAUUGCGUGUGAAACCGCAUUCAUGGUGUGAUGAAAGAGCACUGAGAGUUUGUUGUGCAGCUUGGUUGUAUGCCACAGUCACACGAGUAUUUGAGUAAUUCACAAGGCCACGUUAAUUGUAGUCGGGCAUGGUUGUUGGAGUGGGACUCCGGUGGAUGCAUUUCGGUUUUGGUUCUAGUUUUUUACGCAGCUUGGUUAGAAUACUAAUUUCCCAAAGUAGAUAGCUAAUGAGAUUUCAUCCUAUUUGUUACCGUGUUUUUUUUUCUGGAUUAUUUUGCUAGCGAAUGUAGACUGUUGCACCCUUGCGAAUUCUUGUAGCGAUUAUAUUAUUCACUCUUUCACUGAAUUAGCUGUUUUUUCAUUGUUUCUUGUAUAUCUGCCAUUUUAAGGAUUUAUUAGUUUCAAGUUCAUAUCAUUUGCACAAGCAAAUAAAUGAACAACCUAAAUGGACAAUCUAAAUACACCACUGAUGCAAUAUCCCCAAUUGUUGAUAUAAACACAUGUUGCUAGUGAGUCAGCAAACAAAAUGAUCUUUUUGACCAUCAACACAACCUCAUUCUUAAGAUAUGCUUAUCAAAAUAAACUACUACACAAAGUUACAAAGUUACAUUAUAAAGCCUCCCACAACAAAAUCUACAAGCAAGGUCAAAGAGAAAAACUAAAAAUCCAUGUUCUAUUCUUUUCGACAACAACAUGAGAAAAGCAAAAAAUUUAUUCCAAGUAGUAGUGUUUUUGUCCCCCUAGAGGUUACAUUGGGUCUAUUUGUUUCUUGUGUUGGCUAUAGUGGAGAGGCAAUUGAAUUGGUGGUUUGUUGUAUCACUUUGUAAUAACUUGCAAUACUUUGAGUGGUCAUAAGAUCCAUAUGGUAAUAGAAGCCAUCUCAAUUGUAGGGGCUUCCUCACGCACCCAUAAAGAUAAUUACAAAAGAAAUAAUUAUAAAUAUUCUACCUAGAAUUCUUUAUUGAAGAAAAGAAGUCUAAAAGCUACAAACACUUAGCAUCAGCAAGGAUUGUAUUCUAAGAGAAGUGUGGAGAAAGUUAUCUCUUACUUCCAACACCUUUUACUUAUAGAUGGAGUUUACAUCCCAAGUACAUAGACUUCAUCUAGAGUCACCUUCAUCCUUUUAACUAGAUCUAGAUUCAUCUUAACCUAAUUGCCACCUUAAAACCCUAACUGUCACCAUAGUAACUUCUUUUAAUCCUUGGGUGCCUUUUGACUAUUAGCAACUUAUUAUGCUUAAUCUUUAUGUGGUGGUAACUAAGUAAGAACUUGUUGAUCUUCAACACUCCCACUUUACUAAUUUUCAAAAGGUUUUUAAUCCUAAUCUCUGAAUCAAGUGAUGAUGUCUAUUUUUCACUAAUGCCUUUGUAAGCACAUCAACAAGCAUGUCAUUUGUAGCAAAAUACUUCAUACCUAUUAUUCCAUCUUGAAUCAUCUCUCAUAUGAAAUGAUGUUGAAUAUCAAUGUGUUUGGUCCUUGAGUGGUGUUUUGGAUUCUUGGCAAAUGCAAGAUAUCUUUGAUUGUCACACAUAAUUAGAAUUGCUUCUAAUUGCACUAGACCAAUGUCUUCUAAGAAUUGCCUUAUCCAACACGCUUCCAUUGCACAAUGACUUGCUGCCAUGUACUCUGCUUCCAUCGUUGAUCUUGCAAUGGUAGAUUGUCUCUUGUAAUUCCAUGAAAUGACUCCCACUCCAAUGAAGAAGACAUAUCCCAUUGUGGAUCUUCUAUCAUUUGCAUCUCCAGUCCAAUCCGCAUCACAAUAACCUUGCAAAUCAAUGUUCUUACCACCAAGGCAAAAUUUGAAGUCUUUUGUACUUUUAAGUACCUCAAUAUCCUUUUUACUAUUGUCCAAUGCAUUGGACUAGCUUUAGACAUGUGUUGGCUUACAACACUUAUCGCAUAUGCAAGAUCCACUCUUGUGGCCACCAUUGCAUACAUGAGUGAGCCUACUGCUACUUUGUAUGGAACACUUUGUAUCUCACCUUCAACUUCUACAAAUUCCUCAUCCGUGAGCUUCAUCAACUUCAAAUUUGCCUCCAAGGGUGUUCCAAUGGGCUUGCACUCCUCCAUGUUGAAUCGUUUCAACACUUCUUCAAUGUACUUGAUUUGGCUCAUUGUAAUGGUCUUGUUACCACGAUCUCUUACAAAUUCCACUCCCAAGCAGUAGUGCAAUUCUUCCAAAUCACUCAUCUCAUAUUCCUUCUCUAAUUUGGCCUUCAUCCAAUCCAUCUUUUCCAUAUUGUUAGCCAAGAUGAUCAAAUCAUCAACAUAAAGGAUUAAAGUCAGCAAAAACUCUCUAGUUUGCAUCACAUACAAUGAAUGAUCAGCCUCAUUCCUCACAAACCCUUCAUUGAUAAAAAAAAAAAAAAAAAAGGUGUCAAUUUGUUGGUACCAUACCCUUGGUGAUUGUUUCAAUCCAUAUAAGGAUUUCUUCAAUUUGCACACAAGAUGUUCUUUGCUUUUUUGUAUAAAUUCUUGAGGUUGGUCCAUGUAGAUGUCUUCUUAUAAUUCUCCAUUCAAAAAGGCCGUCUUUACAUCCAUUUGGUGUAUUUCCAAAUCCAUUGCUGCACCAAUUGCUACAAUGGUCCUAAUGGUGGUGAAUUUGGCAACGGGUGCAUAAGUCUCAUUAAAAUCAAUUCCAACAACUUGUGAAUAUCCUUUAGCAAUUAGUCUUGCCUUGUGCCUCACCAUCACAUCCAUUGCAUCUCUUUUAGUCCUAAACAUCCACUUACAACCAACACUAGAUCGAUUUGUUGGAAGAGGUACCAAUUUCCAUGUACCAUUGUCCAUAAGAAAUUGGUAUUCUUCUUCCAUAGCCUUCUCCCACUUGAUUGCAUCUUCACACUUCAUAGCAUCAUACAAAGACAAUGGAUCAACAAGAAGAACAACAUUUGCAUGUUCUUCACUUACUUGAGGGAAGAUGUGAUCCUUCUACCAUUCGCCACGUCGCCUUCUUUCUCUCAAAAGAUAUCUCCUUUCACUUAUAGAAGAAUAUUCACCUUGUUGCACUCUAUGUUCUUUUUCAACCUUCUUCUCUCUUAAACCUUGUCGUUUCUCACUCAAUGGUUGAUACUCUUUAUCAUUAUCAUCAUUCCAAUCUCCAACAUCUUCAUUUCUUUCAUUGUUGGUCUUAGCAAUUGUAGGAGCCUUCAUCUUUUCAACCUUCUUUGGCUUUUCAUCUUCAUCAUCUUCAUUAUCUUCAUCUUCUUGUUUUUUUGCUGAAUUCAAAGAUGUAUCCACAAACACACCAUUACUCCCACUUGGACACAUCUCCAAGUGCUCACAAGCACUCUUAUGCUCCAAAAACUUAGCAUCACAACUAUUGGUGAUCUUCUUGGUUUCCAAGCACAUUAGCCUAUAUGCCUUAGUACCUUCACAACAAUCAAGAAAUAUACACUUUGUACCUUUUGCAUCAAGUUUGGACCUCAUACAAUCUAGUAUUUUUUUAUAUGCAAUGCACCCAAAGGUCCUGAUAUGGAAAAUGCAAAGUUGUCUCUCACUCCAAGCUUCUUGUGGUGUCAUUGAUGCAAGAGCAAUUGUUGGACACGUAUUUCAUGUGUACAUUGGAUUCACGACAACUUUCAUCCAAGAGUCAUAGCCAAGUUUUGGACGAAAGCUUAAUCCAAGAGUCAAAACCUUAGCUAUAAGUUUUGGACGAAAGCUAUGGUGAAUGCAAUGUACACAAGAAAUAGAUAUCCAACAAUUGCCCUUGCAUCAAUGACACCACAAGAAGCUUGGAGUGAGAGACAACUUUGCAUUUCUCAUAUCAGGACCUUUGGGUGCAUUGCAUAUAAAAAAAUACUAGAUUGUAUGAGGUCCAAACUUGAUGCAAAAGGUACAAAGUGUAUAUUUCUUGAUUGUUGUGAAGGUACUAAGGCAUAUAGGCUAAUGUGCUUGGAAACCAAGAAGAUCACCAAUAGUUGUGAUGCUAAGUUUUUGGAGCAUAAGAGUGCUUGUGAGCACUUGGAGAUGUGUCCAAGUGGGAGUAAUGGUGUGUUUGUGGAUACAUCUUUGAAUUCAGCAAAAAAACAAGAAGAUGAAGAUAAUGAAGAUGAUGAAGAUGAAAAGCCAAAGAAGGUUGAAAAGAUGAAGGCUCCUACAAUUGCUAAGACCAACAAUGAAAGAAAUGAAGAUGUUGGAGAUUGGAAUGAUGAUAAUGAUAAAGAGUAUCAACCAUUGAGUGAGAAACGACAAGGUUUAAGAGAGAAGAAGGUUGAAAAAGAACAUAGAGUGCAACAAGGUGAAUAUUCUUCUAUAAGUGAAAGGAGAUAUCUUUUGAGAGAAAGAAGGCGACGUGGCGAAUGGUAGAAGGAUCACAUCUUCCCUCAAGUAAGUGAAGAACAUGCAAAUGUUGUUCUUCUUGUUGAUCCAUUGUCUUUGUGUGAUGCUAUGAAGUGUGAAGAUGCAAUCAAGUGGGAGAAGGCUAUGGAAGAAGAAUACCAAUUUCUUAUGGACAAUGGUACAUGGAAAUUGGUACCUCUUCCAACAAAUCGAUCUAGUGUUGGUUGUAAGUGGAUGUUUAGGACUAAAAGAGAUGCAAUGGAUGUGAUGGUGAGGCACAAGGCAAGACUAAUUGCUAAAGGAUAUUCACAAGUUGUUGGAAUUGAUUUUAAUGAGACUUAUGCACCCGUUGCCAAAUUCACCACCAUUAGGACCAUUGUAGCAAUUGGUGCAGCAAUGGAUUUGGAAAUACACCAAAUGGAUGUAAAGACGGCCUUUUUGAAUGGAGAAUUAUAAGAAGACAUCUACAUGGACCAACCUCAAGAAUUUAUACAAAAAAGCAAAGAACAUCUUGUGUGCAAAUUGAAGAAAUCCUUAUAUGGAUUGAAACAAUCACCAAGGGUAUGGUACCAACAAAUUGACACCUUUUUUUUUUUUUUUUUUAUCAAUGAAGGGUUUGUGAGGAAUGAGGCUGAUCAUUCAUUGUAUGUGAUGCAAACUAGAGAGUUUUUGCUGACUUUAAUCCUUUAUGUUGAUGAUUUGAUCAUCUUGGCUAACAAUAUGGAAAAGAUGGAUUGGAUGAAGGCCAAAUUAGAGAAGGAAUAUGAGAUGAGUGAUUUGGAAGAAUUGCACUACUGCUUGGGAGUGGAAUUUGUAAGAGAUCGUGGUAACAAGACCAUUACAAUGAGCCAAAUCAAGUACAUUGAAGAAGUGUUGAAACGAUUCAACAUGGAGGAGUGCAAGCCCAUUGGAACACCCUUGGAGGCAAAUUUGAAGUUGAUGAAGCUCACGGAUGAGGAAUUUGUAGAAGUUGAAGGUGAGAUACAAAGUGUUCCAUACAAAGUAGCAGUAGGCUCACUCAUGUAUGCAAUGGUGGCCACAAGAGUGGAUCUUGCAUAUGCGAUAAGUGUUGUAAGCCAACACAUGUCUAAAGCUAGUCCAAUGCAUUGGACAAUAGUAAAAAGGAUAUUGAGGUACUUAAAAGUACAAAAGACUUCAAAUUUUGCCUUGGUGGUAAGAACAUUGAUUUGCAAGGUUAUUGUGAUGCGGAUUGGACUGGAGAUGCAAAUGAUAGAAGAUCCACAAUGGGAUAUGUCUUCUUCAUUGGAGUGGGAGUCAUUUCAUGGAAUUACAAGAGACAAUCUACCAUUGCAAGAUCAACGAUGGAAGCAGAGUACAUGGCAGCAAGUCAUUGUGCAAUGGAAGCGUGUUGGAUAAGGCAAUUCUUAGAAGACAUUGGUCUAGUGCAAUUAGAAGCAAUUCUAAUUAUGUGUGACAAUCAAAGAUAUCUUGCAUUUGCCAAGAAUCCAAAACACCACUCAAGGACCAAACACAUUGAUAUUCAACAUCAUUUCAUAUGAGAGAUGAUUCAAGAUGGAAUAAUAGGUAUGAAGUAUUUUGCUACAAAUGACAUGCUUGUUGAUGUGCUUACAAAGGCAUUAGUGAAAAAUAGACAUCAUCACUUGAUUCAGAGAUUAGGAUUAAAAACCUUUUGAAAAUUAGUAAAGUGGGAGUGUUGAAGAUCAACAAGUUCUUACUUAGUUACCACCACAUAAAGAUUAAGCAUAAUAAGUUGCUAAUAGUCAAAAGGCACCCAAGGAUUAAAAGAAGUUACUAUGGUGACAGUUAGGGUUUUAAGGUGGCAAUUAGGUUAAGAUGAAUCUAGAUCUAGUUAAAAGGAUGAAGGUGACUCUAGAUGAAGUCUAUGUACUUGGGAUGUAAACUCCAUCUAUAAGUAAAAGGUGUUGGAAGUAAGAGAUAACUUUCUCCACACUUCUCUUAGAAUACAAUCCUUGCUGAUGCUAAGUGUUUGUAGCUUUUAGACUUCUUUUCUUCAAUAAAGAAUUCUAGGUAGAAUAUUUAUAAUUAUUUCUUUUGUAAUUAUCUUUAUGGGUGCGUGAGGAAGCCCCUACAAUUGAGAUGGCUUCUAUUACCAUAUGGAUCUUAUGACCACUCAAAGUAUUGCAAGUUAUUACAAAGUGAUACAACAAACCACCAAUUCAAUUGCCUCUCCACUAUAGCCAACACAAGAAACAAAUAGACCCAAUGUAACCUCUAGGGGGACAAAAACACUACUACUUGGAAUAAAUUUUUUGCUUUUCUCAUGUUGUUGUCGAAAAGAAUAGAACAUGGAUUUUUAGUUUUUCUCUUUGACCUUGCUUGUAGAUUUUGUUGUGGGAGGCUUUAUAAUGUAACUUUGUAACUUUGUGUAGUAGUUUAUUUUGAUAAGCAUAUCUUAAGAAUGAGGUUGUGUUGAUGGUCAAAAAGAUCAUUUUGUUUGCUGACUCACUAGCAACAUGUGUUUAUAUCAACAAUUGGGGAUAUUGCAUCAGUGGUGUAUUUAGAUUGUCCAUUUAGGUUGUUCAUUUAUUUGCUUGUGCAAAUGAUAUGAACUUGAAACUAAUAAAUCCUUAAAAUGGCAGAUAUACAAGAAACAAUGAAAAAACAGCUAAUUCAGUGAAAGAGUGAAUAAUAUAAUCGCUACAAGAAUUCGCAAGGGUGCAACAGUCUACAUUCGCUAGCAAAAUAAUCCAGAAAAAAAAACACGGUAACAAAUAGGAUGAAAUCUCAUUAGCUAUCUACUUUGGGAAAUUAGUAUUCUAACCAAGCUGCGUAAAAAACUAGAACCAAAACCGAAAUGCAUCCACCGGAGUCCCACUCCAACAACCAUGCCCGACUACAAUUAACGUGGCCUUGUGAAUUACUCAAAUACUCGUGUGACUGUGGCAUACAACCAAGCUGCACAACAAACUCUCAGUGCUCUUUCAUCACACCAUGAAUGCGGUUUCACACCAAUGCGGUUUUCAACCUGCAUUGCGGACCGCCACUUCUCUCCUACAUUCGUCUUUUAGCUUUC